UUUUUUUUUUGUUUUUGAAAGCGAGAAAGAAAGUAAACAUGCAUGAGACAAAUGCAAUAACACAAAAAGAACACAAAAGAACUUCAUCUAGAGUUGGGCGGUGACAUAGUCACCUAUGUUAGAGUAUAUUGACUUAGGAGUCAAGUGAGAACACUUGAUCAUAGGUCAUACUCAUCGUUUAAGCUCAAAAUGGGGUUGCCAUUUUUCGUUUAAGCAUUUUGAUGUAUUCACAUCUUGUUGAGUUGCUUUGACUCAUGUCUUGGAGUAAAGCUUCUCUAAGAUGGAAUAACAUACCUUGGGUGGUGGUGUGGUUCUUGCUCAUGUAGUUGAACUUGUGUGGGUGCUCAAGGUUGAUGUAGCUCAUCAAGAGUUGGGAGCACCACGUGGAGUUUGAGUUCAUCUACCUACAUGGGUUAGUUCUUGCAAGGAAGAGCACUUGUGUAUCCAAAAAUGACAAUCAUGAAGCUCAACAUAGAAUUUGUCAAAGGAUAUGUUUGAAUGGUUUUGUGCUUCCUUGUCUUCAACCAUCGUUGUGUAGAGACUUGGUGAUGUAGAGAUUGCUCAAGAUGUGAGUGAGUCGCAAUCUCAUGGAAUUAGGUUCAACCAAGCACCUACAUGGGUUAGACAACACGCAAGGUACAAAUAUAUCCAAGACAUAAGAUAGUCAUCAUAAGAGAUAUAUCAUGGAUUAGUCAUAAGCUCAUGUAUUGCAUGUAUCCAAUGGAGUUCCUACUCCAAGUUCGAAGCAUCAAUAAUGUUCAAUUCACCUCUCAACCUGCAAAACACUUUCUCAUCAAGUGGUUUAGUGAAUAUAUCCGCUAAUUGCUUAUCAGUGCGAACAUGCUUAAGAUCAAUGUCACCCUUAGCAACAUGGUCUCGAAUGAAAUGAUGACGAACUUCAAUAUGCUUAGUUCGAGAAUGUUGUACAGGAUUAUGACCAAUUUUGAUAGCACUUUCAUUAUCACAAAGCAGUGGAACAUGUUUCACAUAGAUCCCAUAAUCUUUAAGAGUUUGGGUCAUCCAAAGUAAUUGAGCACAACAUGAACCAGCGGCAAUGUAUUCCGCUUCGGCGGUGGAUAAGGAUACUGAGUUUUCUUUCUUGGAAGACCAAGACACAAGAGAUCUACCAAGAAAUUGACAAGUACCCGAAGUUGACUUUCUAUCAACCUUGUCUUCGGCAUAAUCCGAGUCGGAAUAGCCAACAAGAUCAAAAGAAGAUCUCUUAGGAUACCAAAUGCCAAAGUUUGGUGUAUGAAUUAAGUAUCUUACUAUCCUUUUCACGGCCUUAAGAUGACAUUCUUUAGGAGCAGCUUGAUAUCAUGCACACAUGCACACACUUAGCAUAAUAUCAGGACGUGAAGCACAUAGGUAUAACAAUGAACCAAUCAUAGAGCGAUAAACCUUUUGAUCAACCGGUUCACCAUCUUUGGUAAAAUCAUUAUGUCCACUAGUAGGCAUGGGUGUAGACAUACCUUUGCAUUCUUGCAUAUUGAACUUCUUGAAUAAGUCCUUGGUGUACUUCGUUUGAGAGACAAAUGUACCUUCCUUAGUUUGCUUGAUUUGCAAACCGAGAAAGAAUUUGAGUUCACUCAUCAUAGACAUCUCAAACUUCUCUGACAUUAGCUUUCCAAACUUUUCACUAAAGAGAGGGUUAGUUGAACCAAAUAUGAUAUCAUCAACAUAAAUUUGGCAUACAAAUUGUUCUCCAUUAACCCUUUUAGUAAAAAGAGUAGAAUCAAUUUUACCGAUUUCAAAACCACUUGCAAUAAGGAACUUGGUCAAGCAUUUAUACCAUGCUCUAGGAGCUUGUUUAAGACCAUAAAGAGCUUUGUGAAGUUUGUAAACAUGAUUUGGUUUCUUAGGAUUGACAAAGCCGGGAGGUUGUUUGACAUAAACUUCCUCCUCUAUUUCACCAUUUAGAAAAGCACUUUUAAUGUCCAUUUGGUACAAGGUGAUAUUAUGGUGAUUAGCAUAGGCAAGUAAGAUGCGAAUGGACUCAAGUCUAGCAACGGGAGCAUAUGUCUCACCAUAGUCCAUACCUUCGACUUGUGUGUACCCUUGGGCGACGAGACGUGCUUUGUUGCGAACCACUUGUCCAUCUUCAUCUUGCUUGUUGCGAAACACCCAUUUGGUACCAAUGAUGUUGUGGUUGUUGUCGGGCUUCUCAACCAAUGUCCAAACUUGGUUUCUCUCAAAGUUGUGUAGCUCUUCAUGCAUAGCGUUUAUCCAAUCCGGAUCUUCCAAUGCUUCUUCAACCUUCAUAGGUUCAAUGCUAAAGAUGAAUGAAUAGUUUUCACAAAAGUUAGCUAAACGAGUCUUUGAGCGAGUGAUUCUCCCGGUUUGUAUAUCAUUGAAGAUUUUCUCGACGGGAUGAUCUUUGGCAAUUCUUGCUCGAACUCGUGAGAGCUUUUGCUUGGGUCUUCAUUGAACAUCUUCUUCAUCUUGUUCUUCUUCUUGGCCUUCUUCAUUGUUGACGUUGUCGUUCUCUUGUCGUGGUGGAGAAGGAGGUUGUUGAUGUUCGUCUUGAUGCAUUUCCUUGUCUUCUUCAUCUUGGUGUGUCCCGCUUGUGGAUGCUUCCGUAUCAAUUCUUUGUUCACCUUGUCGUGAAGUAGAAGCUUCCACUUGGACGGAUGAAGUACUCUCCUUCACCUCCGUUGGACGAACUUUGCCUAUGGACAAGUCUUGGAUUGCUUCUGAAGGGUCUUUGUCUCCUACAUCAAUUGGCAAUUGCUCUACUUGCGAGCCAUUAGAUUCAUCAAACUUCACAUCUACCAUCUCUUCAACCUUUCGGGUGAAAUUGUUGUAUACACAGUAAGUGUGGGAGUUUGAGCCAUAACCAAGUAGGAAACCUUCAUGAGAUUUGGGAGCAAACUUUGAACGACGAUGCUUAUCAAGAAUGUAGCACUUUGAGCCGAAUACUCGAAAGUAUCCAACUUGGGGUUUGUUACCGGUGAGGAGCUCGUAUGUCGUCUUGCCGAGUAGCUUGUGAAGAUACAAGCGAUUUGUUGUGUGACAAGCUGUCUCAACCGCUUCUGCCCAAAAGUGCUUCGGCGUCUUGUAUUCAUCAAGCAUCAUUCUUGCCAUUUCGAUGAGCGUCCGGUUCUUCCUCUCAACAACUCCAUUUUGUUGAGGUGUGUACGUAGCCAAGAACUCGUGUGAAAUCCCUUCUUCGUCAAGAAAGGUGUCCACAUUUGCGUUCUUGAACUCCGUUCCGUUGUCACUCCGAACUUUCUUGAUCUUCACAUCAAACUAAUUUUGGGCCUUCCUAGCAAAGUUUUUGAAGAUCUUCUGGACCCGCGACUUGUUAUUAAGAAAGAACACCCACGUAAAUCUUGAAAAAUCAUCAACUAUAACUAGACCAAAAGAAUUUCCACCGAGACUCUUGUAGGCGUUGGGACCAAAAAGAUCCAUAUGAAGUAGCUCGAGUGGCCUCCUUGUGGUCAUGAUGUUCUUCACGGGAUCCCUUCCUCCAACCUGUUUACCUGCUUGACAAGCACUGCAAAGUCUAUCCUUAUCAAAUAUGACAUCAUUAACUCCAAGGAUAUGAUUUCCUUUAAUAAGCUUGUCAAGGUUUCUCAUGCCAACGUGACCUAGUCGUCUAUGCCACAACCAACCUUUUGAGGAUUUAGCAAUAAGGCAAGUUUUAGGUUGUGCCUUUUUAGAGAAAUCGACAAUGUAAAGAUCACCUCUACGCAUACCGGUAAAGACCAUUUUAUGAUUGUCUCGACGAAAUACUUGGCAAUCUACCUCAGUAAAUAGGACAUUCAAACCGAAAUCAGCAAGUCUAGAUACUGAAAGUAAGUUGUAGCCGAGAGAUUCAACGAGCAUGACAUUUUGAAUGGAGCUAUCAUGUGAGAUGGCCACCUUACCAAGGCCAACCACUUUACCCUUUGAAUUAUCACCAAAGGUGACAUAUUUUUGAGGGCCGUCAUUUUCAGCAAGCUCACGGAACAUCUCCUCAUCUCCGGUCAUAUGAUCAGUACAUCCACUAUCAAGAACCCAUUCCUUUCCUCCUGACGCAUAUCCCCGAAGAUUUUCCGUAAGACCAAAAUGUCUCAUUUCAUCAUCAAGAUCGAAGUCACGGUCAUCAUCAUCAUAGUAUCCAUGUUCACCAUGAUCUUGUGACUCAUCAUUUCCUAGAGAGGGUAACUCAUUAGAUAAAUGAUCAUCAAAGUGGUCACUUUUAUGAAUUCUUAUGGCUUCGAAUAUAAUAUCACUAAUGAUUCCAACAUCUCCUUUAGCAUGCUUGAGAUUGGUAAGCUCAAAUAGACAAUCACCAAAACUAGGAUCACUAGAGUUCAUCUUACUCAAGGCAAUAGAUUUAUGGAGAAUUUCAUCCAAAUUUUUCAAGGAAUGACCGGGAAAUCGUUCCUCAAGAAAUUUCCAUAUAGUAUAGGCACAAUUAAGAGGAGGCAAACUAGCAAUCAAAUUUCUGGGAAAUCCUCUAAUGAUGAGCUCGAUAGUUCUAAGAUUGCGAAUCAUGUCAAUAUCUUCAUCUAGGGUAGGAUGCAGAGGAUCAAUAUGAAGUGCACAAGGGCUAGCAAUAUACUUGUUCAAAUGAUAUUGAUUGAAGAUUACAAGCAUCUCAUUUUUCCACUCAUGAAAAUAUUCUCCAUCAAGAAUAGGCACUCUAUGUCUAAGACUCCCUAAAGUAGACACAUCCAUCUUCCUCCAAUGGUGAUUAAACCAAGGCAAUGGAGACCAAAGCUCUGAUACCACUUGUAGGACCUAGAAGUUGAUGUGUCUAGAGGGGGGGUGAUUAGACACUUAAUGCUAAAGUUGCAAUUUUUAAGCUUUUUCAGUUUGAGUGGGGUUUAGGCAUAAUUUCAACAUUCACAAUACAUAUCAAGCAAGUAUGCAAAGAGUGUAUAGGCAGCGGAAAGUAAAGCAUGCAACUUGCAAGAAUGUAAAGGGAAGGGUUUGGAGAAUUCAAAUGCAAUUGGAGACACGGAUGUUUUUCCCGUGGUUUGGAUAGGUGGUGCUCUCCUACAUCCACGUUGAUGGAGACUUCAACCCACGAAGGGUAACGGUUGCGCGAGUCCACGGAGGGCUCCACCCACGAAGGGUCCACGAAGAAGCAACCUUGUCUAUCCCACCAUGGCCAUCGCCCACGAAGGACUUGCCUCACUAGCGGUAGAUCUUCACGAAGUAGGCGAUCUCCUUGCCCUUACAAACUCCUUGGUUCAACUCCACAAUCUUGUCAGAGGCUCCCAAGUGACACCUAGCCAAUCUAGGAGACAUCACUCUCCAAGAAGUAACAAACGGUGUGUUGAUGAUGAACUCCUUGCUCUUGUGCUUCAAAUGAUAGUCUCCCCAACACUCAACUCUCUCUCAUAGGAUUUGGAUCUGGUGGAAAGAAGGUUUGAGUGGAAAGCAACUUGGGGAAGGCUAGAGAUCAAGAUUCAUAUGGUAGGAAUGGAAUAUCUUGACCUCAACACAUGAGUAGGUAGUUCUUUCUCAGAAAUAGGAUGCUGGAAGUGUAGGCUUAGUCUGAUGGCUCUCUUUACGAAUGAAGAGGAGGUGGAGGGGUAUAUAUAGCCUCCACACAAAAGCCAACCGUUACACACAAUUUACCAAUCUCGGUGGGACCGAAUCAACAAACUCGGUCCGACCGAAAAGGCAAACCUAGUGACCGUUAGAGAUUUUCGGUGGGACCGACUGGAUCAACUCGGUGGGACCGAUGUGCUAGGGUUAGGGUAAAUCCAAAACUCGGUUUGACCGAUUACUCAAACUCGGUGAGACCGAUUUGGGUAAUAAGCGAAACAGAGAGUUGGCCAAGCAAACUCGGUGGGGCCGAUUGCAUAUCUCGGUGGGACCGAAAAUAUUGCAAUAGGUAACAGAGCGUUUGUAAGCCCAUCUCGAUGAGACCGAGAUCCCAUCGGUGAGACCGAACUGAUUAGGGUUUCUGGCAGUGGCUAUGACAAUUGAAACUCGGUGGCGCCGGAUAGAAAUAAUCAGUAGGUCCGAGUUUGGCUUUAGGUCUAGGUCAUAUGUGGAAGUGGGAAAGUAGCUGAGGAUUUUGGAGCAUAUCAUUAAGCACUUGAGCAAGAGGCUCAUUAAGCAACACCUCAUCCCUCCUUGAUAGUAUUGGCUUUUCCUAUGGACUCAAUGUGAUCUUGGAUCACUAAACAUGUAAAAUGAAUAGUCUUGAGCUUUGAGGUUUAGCCAAUCCUUUGUCCUUAGCAUCUUGGAGAACUUCCCACGGCCUUUAGUCCAUGCCACUCCAUUGUUGAACUUAUCUGAAAUAUACUAGAUAGAAACGUUAGUCCAACAAGAGAUAUGUUGUCAUUAAUUACCAAAACCACCUAGGGAGCACUUGUGUUUUCAAAUGGUCGUCGGAAAACUUUAUGGAUCAUGCAGGAAUCAAAGAAGAAUUUAACGCAUAUUUGCCUAAUGCCGGUCUUGAGGACUUUGAGGCAGACAAAUGCCCCCAGUAUCAUGAUCUCACAAGCUCCUUUGUGAGGAGGUUUGAGUAUUCAUCUUUGCGUAAUUCUCCUUCAGUCAUGUUUGAUCUUUAUGACAAAUCUUAUACCAUGGACUUAGAGGAUUUCACUUUUGCUUGCAAACUUCCACAAUGGGGUAGUGUUAGGGAUCCCCCUAAGUCUGAAUUUAGAAACUUUCUUGCUAGUAUAACUGUAGGGGAAUCUAGAGACAUAACGCAAGCUACCAUAGGGAGCAUUCACUUUCCUGCUAUAUAUUAUUUUGCUCUCUUCAAAGGUAGGUGCGUAAAUGCUAAGGAUGAAGUAUGUCACAUGUGUGUCCCUGACCUUAGCAUUCUCAGGAGUGCUGUGUCAGGAGACCAAUCUUAUCAUAUGGGAGCCAUUGUAGCUCGUAGGUGGCAUCAUAAUAGAUAUAAUGGAGAUUUCUUUGGAGGAAUUUAUGCAACCCGCUUAGCUAAAUUUCUUGAGAUAGACGUUCGUGAAGGAGACAUGGAGUUGCCUCCUGCUUAUUUAGAUUUUGAUUCUAUGGUUUCUCACCAGUUUGUUGAGAGGACUGAGCCACCUCUCCAGUAUCGAUUAAUCUUUAACAAACGGCAUGUUUUCCGUAUUACUCUCCCUGCUCCUGCCUUCUUUGAUCACCAAGCAAACGGAAGAUAUACUAUUACCAGAGAGGAGGCAGAUGAGUAUGAGAGGAGAGCGGAGGCAGCCCGACUCCACGCUGCAGCUCAGGAGGCGAUAGCCGCUGCAUCACAGUACAACCCCAACUAUUCUUCGUCAUAGUACGACCCCAGCUACACCUACGGGUAUCCACCAGGCUAUCCCUGGCAAUAAACCAACUUAGGCCAAAAGCCUAAGCUUGGGGGAGUACGUAUUUCUCACCGACAUUACAUUUAUGUUCACACACACUCAUUGCUAGAUGUCGGUGCUCAUACUCUUUCACUGUAAUAUCCAUGCUAGAUUAUUUUCUUUUUCUCGCUUUCUUCUUGUGUGUUUGUUAAACCUUAAGAAAAACCAAAAAAAAUUAGUAGUAGUUUACUUUUCUUGCUGUAGUAAUAAUUAAAAAUAAAACCCAAAAAUAUUUCCCGUUCUUCUUUUGCUUGUUGGGAGCUUUCCCGUGUAAAUAGUUUUAUUUCUUUUCUUUUCUUUGGGGGUCAGUAGGAGAAGACCAUGAUUAAAUUGUGAAGUGGCUCUUAUAUGCUUUAUUUUUGAUUUAACCAAGAGUCCAUAUUGCUUUGCCUUCUUCUGUUUAUUGAAUGCUCGCAGAUUCCAGCUUAGUCCAAUGCACGUGCACUCUUAUUAUUAUUCACAUCGUUCGGUCGUGCAAGUGAAAGGCAAUUAUGAUGAUAUAUGAUGGACUGACUGAGAUGAGAAAAGCUGGUAUGAACUCGACCUCUUUUGUUUUUGUAAAUAUGAUGAGUUCAUCGUUCUUGAUUCAGCUUGUUAUGAAUAAACAUGUUUGCAAUGACAAUUAGAGAUCAUAGUUGCGUGUGCCAUGCUUGAUUAGCUAUGAGUUAUAAUGGUUUACCUUGCGUGCCAACAUGCUAUUGAGAUGGUUAUGAUGUGGUAUGAUGGGGUGGUAUCCUCCUUUGAAUGAUUUAAGUGACUUGACUUGGCACAUGUUCACGCAUGUAGUUGAAACAAAUCAACAUAGCCUUCACGAUAUUUAUGUUCAUGGUGGAUUAUAUCCUACUCAUGCUUGCAUCCAAUGUUUAUUAAUUUUAAUGCAUGUACAUGGCUGUUGUCGCUCUCUAGUUGGUCGCUUCCCAGUCUUUUGCUAGCCUUCACCUGUACUAAGCGGGAAUACUGCUUGUGCAUCCAAUCCCUUAAACCCCAAAGUUAUUCCAGAUAAGUCCACUAUACCUUCCUAUAUGCGGUAUCUACCUGCCGUUCCAAGUAAAUUUGUAUGUGCCAAACUCUAAACCUUCAAAUAAACAUUCUGUUUUGUAUGCUCGAAUAGCUCAUGUAUCAACCAAGGCUGCCCUUAUCUUCCAUGUUAGGCGGGUUAUUCUCAAGAGGAGUGGACUCCGCUCCUCACUCACGAGAAAAUGGCUGGUCACCGGGAUGCCCAGUCCCAUGCUUUAUGCAAACUAAAUCAAAAUUAAUUGCAAACAAAACUCCCCUUGGGACUUGAUGUAUGUUGGAGGCACUCGUUGUUUCGAGCAAGCCAUGGAUUGAUGCUUGUUGGUGGAGGGGGAGUAUAAACUUUACCAUUCUGUUUGGGAACCUCCUAUAAUGUGUGUAGCAUGGAAGAUAUCGCCAUCUCUUAGUUGCUAUGUUGACAAUGAAAGUAUACCGCUCAAAAUAUUAAUUAUCUCUAUUUCAAAACCGAGCUCUGGCACCUCUACAAAUCCCUGCUUCCCUCUGCGAAGGGCCUAUCCAUUUACUUUUAUGUUGAGUCAUCACCCUCUUAUUAAAAGCACUAGCUGGAGAGCACAGCUGUCAUUUGCAUUCAUCACUGUUGAUUUACAUUGGGUGUGACUAUGAUUGGAUCUCUUUUACCAUGAAUUACAAUGUCUAGUCAGUCCUUGAUCUUUAAAGGUGCUCUGCAUUUAUGUUUUGCGGUCUCAGAAAGGGCUAGCGAGAUACCAUCUUGUUAUAUCAUAUUAUGAUUGUUUUGAGAAAGUGUUGUCAUCCAAGAUUUAUUAUUAUGGCUUGCUAGUUGAUUAUGUUAUUGAUAUGGGUAAUCAUGAGACCUGAGAAUUAUUGCAAAUGUGGUUAGUUAUAAUCUUUGCUGAAAACUUGAAUGCUGGCUUGACAUAUUUACAACAACAAGAGCAAACAGAGUUUGUAAAAGUUUUUCUUUAGUUCUUUCAGUUUGUCAACUGAAUUGCUUGAGGACAAGCAAGGGUUUAAGCUUGGGGGAGUUGAUACGUCUCCGUCGUAUCUACUUCUCCAAACACUUUUGCCCUUGUUUUGGACUCUAACUUGUAUGAUUUGAAUGGAACUAACCCAGAUUGACGCUGUUUUCAGCAGAAUUGCCAUGAUGUUGUUUUAUGUUCUAAAAACAAAAGUUCUCGGAAUGACCUGAAACUCCACAGAAUAUCUUACAAUAAAUAAUAAAAAAUCCUCGCCAAAGAUGAAGACCAGGGGGCCCACACCCUGUCCACGAGGGUAGGCCCCCCCCCUAGGGCGCGCCCCCUACCUCGUGGGCCCCCUGGAGACCUUUCGACUCCAACUCCAACUCUAUAUAUUUGCUUUCGGGGAGAAAAAAAUAGGAGAGAAUAAAUCAUCGCGUUUUACGAUACGGAGCCGUCGCCAAGCCCUAAAACCUCUCGGGAGGGCUGAUCUGGAGUCCAUUCGGGGCUCCGGAAAGGGGGACUCGUCGCCGUCGUCAUCAUCAACCAUCCUCCAUCACCAAUUUCAUGAUGCUCACCGCCGUGCGUGAGUAAUUCCAUCGUAGGCUUGCUGGAUGGUGAUGGGUUGGAUGAGAUUUAUCAUGUAAUGGAGUUAGUUUUGUUAGGGUUUGAUCCCUAGUAUCCACUAUGUUCUGAGAUUGAUGUUGCUAUGACUUUGCUAUGCUUAAUGCUUGUCACUAGGGCCCGAGUGCCAUGAUUUCAGAUCUGAACCUAUUAUGUUUUCAUGAAUAUAUGUGAGUUCUUGAUCCUAUCUUGCAAGUCUAUAGUCACCUACUAUGUGUUAUGAUCCGGCAACCCCGAAGUGACAAUAAUCGGGACCACUCCCGGUGAUGACCAUAGUUUGAGGAGUUCAUGUAUUCACUAUGUGCUAAUGCUUUGUUCCUGUUCUCUAUUAAAAGGAGGCCUUAAUAUCCCUUAGUUUCCAUUAGGACCCCGCUGAGGGUAGGACAAAAGAUGUCAUGCAAGUUCUUUUCCAUAAGCACGUAUGACUAUAUUCGGAAUACAUGCCUACAUUACAUUGAUGAAUUGGAGCUAGUUCUGUGUCACCCUAUGUUAUGAAUGUUACAUGAUGAACCGCAUCCGGCAUAAUUAUCCAUCGCUGAUCCGAUGCCUACGAGCUUUCCAUAUACUGGUUUACGCUUAUUUACUUUCCCGUUGAUAUUGUUACAAUCACUACAAAAUACCAAAAAUAUUACUUUGCUUUCAUUACUCUUUUGUUACCGUUACCACCACUAUCAUAUUACUUUGCUACUAAACACUUUGCUGCAGAUACUAAGUUUCCAGGUGUGGUUGAAUUGAAAACUCAACCGCUAAUACUUGAGAAUAUUCUUUGGCUCCCCUUGUGUCGAAUCAAUAAAUUUGGGUUGAAUACUCUACCCUCGAAAGUUGUUGCGAUCCCCUAUACUUGUGGGUUAUCACUUUCUUGGCAGCUAUGAGGAUAAUCCUCAGGUUACGGACCCAGUUCGUGUAGUUGCUGCCAUCGUCUUUCAGCUUGGUUUUCUCUAGGAACGUGUUGAAGUUGAGGGCAACAUUAGCAUGGGCCAUUUGAUCUACAAGACAUAUUGCAAAGAUUUUAGACUAUGUUCAUGAUAAUUAAGUUCAUCUAAUCAAAUUAUUUAAUGAACUCCCACUCAGAUAGACAUCCCUCUAGUCAUCUAAGCGAUACAUGAUCCGAGUCAACUAGGCCGUGUCCGAUCAUCACGUGAGACGAGCUAGUCAUCAUCGGUGAACAUCUUCAUGUUGAUCGUAUCUUCUAUACGACUCAUGUUCGACCUUUCGGUCUUCUGUGUUCUGAGGCCAUGUUUGUACAUGCUAGGCUCGUCAAGUCAACCUAAGUGUAUUGCGUGUGUAAAUCUGGCUUACACCCAUUGUAUGCGAAUGUUAGAACCUAUCACACCCGAUCAUCACGUGGUGCUUCGGAACAAUGGACCUUAGCAACGGUGCACAGUUAGGGGGAACACCAUUCUUGAUAUUUUAAUGAGGGAUCAUCUUAUUUAUGCUACCGUUGUUCUAAGCAAAUAAGAUGUAAAAACAUGAUAAACAUCGCAUGCAAUCAAAUAGUGACAUGAUAUGGCCAAUAUCAUUUUCCUCCUUUUGAUCUCCAUCUUCGGGGCGCCAUGAUCAUCAUCGUCACCGGCAUGACACCAUGACCUCCAUCAUCAUGAUCUCCAUCAUCAUGUCUUCAUGAAGUUGUCUCGCCAACUAUUACUUCUACUACUAUGGCUAACGAUUAGAGAUAAAGUAAAGUAAUUACAUGACGUUUAUGUUGACAUGCAUGUCAUAAAUAAAUUAAGACAACUCAUAUGGCUCCUGCCGGUUAUCAUACUCAUCGACAUGCAAGUCAUGAUUCCUAUUACAAGAACAUGAUCAAUCUCAUGCAUCACAUAUAUCAUUCAUCACAUCCUUUUGGCCAUAUCACAUCACACGACAUAUGCUGCAAAAACAAGUCAGACAUCCUCUAAUUGUUGUUGCAAGUUUUUACGUGGCUGCUAUAGGUUUCUAGCAAGAACGUUUCUUACCUACGCCAAAACCACAACGUGAUAUGCCAAUUUCUAUCUACCCUUCAUAAGGACCCUUUUCAUCGAAUCCGAUCCGACUAAAGUGGGAGAGACAGACACCCGCUAGCCACCUUAUGCAACUAGUGCAUGUCAGUCGGUGGAACCAGUCUCACGUAAGCGUACGUGUAAGGUCGGUCCGGGCCGCUUCAUCCCACGAUGCCGCCGAAUCAAGAUAAGACUAGUAACGGCAAGUAAAUUGAAAAAAUCGAUGCCCACAACAACUUGUGUUCUACUCGUGCAUAGAAACUACGCAUAGACCUAGCUCAUGAUGCCAUUAUUGGGGAUCGUUGCAGAAAUUAAAAAAAUUCUACGCAUCACCAAGAUCAAUAUAUGGAGUAACUAGCAAUGAGAUAGAGGGGAGUGCAUCUUCAUACCCUUGAAGAUCGCGAGUCGGAAGCGUUGCAAGAACGCGGUUGGAGGAGUCGUACACGUAGCGAUUCAGAUCGCGGCCGAAUCCGAUCUAAGCACCGAACAACAGUGCCUCCACGUUCAACACACGUGCAGCCCGGUGACGUCUCCCGCGCCUUGAUCCAGCAAGGAGGAGGGAGAGGUUGAGGAAGAAGGCUCUAACAGCAGCACGACGGCGUGGUGGUGAUGGAGUGGUAGUUCUCCGGCAGGGCUUCGCCAAGCUCACGCGGAGGAGGAGAGGUGUUGGGGAGGGGAGGGGCUGCGCCUUGGAUGUGGUCCUGCAGCCCUCCUCUCGCCCCUCUAUUUAUAGGGAGAAUGGGGAAGGGGGCGGCCCCUCUAGAUGAGAUCUAGAGGGGGGGCGGCAGCCAAGGGGGAGGGGGCUUGCCCCCCAAGCAAGGGGGGCGCCCCCUUUAGGGUUCCCCCCAAAACCUAGGCGCAUGGGCCCUAGGGGGGAUGGCGCCCGGCCCACUAGGGGCUCGUUCCCUUCCACCUAUAGCCCAUAAGGCCCUCCGGGGCAGCUGGACCCCCGGAACCCCUCCGGUGGUCCCGGUACAAUACCAGUAUACCCCCGAAUAUUUCUGGUGACCGUAUGAUGACUUCCCAUAUAUAAAUCUCCACCUCCGGACUAUUCCGGAACUCCUCGUGACGUCCGGGAUCUCAUCCGGGACUCCGAAAAACAUUCGGUAAUCACAUACAAAUCUUCCUAAUAACCCUAGCGUCAUCGAACCUUAAGUGUGUAGACCCUACGGGUUCGGGAACCAUGCAGACAUGACCGAGACAACUCUCCGGCCAAUAACCAACAGUGGGAUCUGGAUACCCAUGUUGGCUCCCACAUGUUCCAUGAUGAUCUCAUCGGAUGAACCACGAUGUCGAGGAUUCAAGCAAUCCCGUAUACAAUUCCCUUUGUCAAUCGGUACGUUACUUGCCCGAGAUUCGAUCGUCGGUAUCCCAAUACCUCGUUCAAUCUCGUUACUGGCAAGUCACUUUACUCAUUCCGUAAUGCAUGAUCCCGUGACCAACUACUUAGUCACAAUGAGCUCAUUAUGAUGAUGCAUUACCGAGUGGGCCCAGAGAUACCUCUCCAUCAUACGGAGUGACAAAUCCCAGUCUCGAUUCGUGCCAACCCAACAGACACUUUCGGAGAUACCUGUAGUGCACCUUUAUAGCCACCUAGUUACGUUGUGACAUUUGGCACACCCAAAGUAUUCCUACAGUAUCCGGGAGUUGCACAAUAUCAUGGUCUAAGGAAAAGAUACUUGACAUUAGAAAAGCUUUAGCAGACGAACUACACGAUCUUGCGCUAUGCUUAGGAUUGGGUCUUGUCCAUCACAUCAUUCUCCUAAUGAUGUGAUCCCGUUAUCAAUGACAUCCAAUGUCCAUGGUCAGGAAACCAUAACCAUCUAUUGAUCAACGAGCUAGUCAACUAGAGGCUCACUAGGGACAUGUUGUGUUCUAUGUAUUCACACAUGUAUUAUGAUUUCCGAAUAACACAAUUAUAGUAUGAACAAUAGACAAUUAUCAUGAACAAGGAAAUAUAAUAAUAACCAUUUUAUUAUUGCCUCUAGGGCAUAUCUCCAACACCUUUAGCUCCUCGUUGGGUUUGACACUCUUACUUAUCGAAAACUGUUGCGAUCCCCUAUACUUGUGGGUUAUCACCUACCACCCUUGCUGGUGGACCUGAUGUAGAGCUAACCUUUGUUCUAUUGGCUUGGUGAUACAUGAGUUAAGAGAUAAAAUGGUUUGAAUCUAUGAAAAUAGGGAGAACUCCCAGGUUGCGACAAGUGGUGCCCAUGGUGCACACCACUUGUCACAAUCUGGCAAGUUGGGAGUGUAUUUUUGGAAAGAGUGAUCCUUAAUUAGUGAUUUCGGUUUUCUUAUCUGCUUGUGUCACUGGCUGCCGCAUUGUAUAUCGUAUUGUUCAGAGACAAGCGUCCUCUUAUAGCUUUUCCCACCUGCAGCAUUGUAUAUCGCACUAGAGGCUGGGAGGCCACCUGGUGGCGCCACCUAGGCGGGCCUGUGCGCACUUAGGGCAUGUAUAGUGGUUGGUAAGAUUACCAUAUUUUAAGUCUUGCAUGUAAUUUGAAGAUGACAAUAAACCAUGUAUACAAUGAGUUAUCUCUUAGGCUUAUCUUUGAUAACUAGCUAUUCCUAAAAAUAUGGUGAGAUAUAUUGUACUAAGAGGUCAUCUCUUAAAUAAGAGAAGACAAGUCUCUUCUUAUAAUUUCUAUCCCCUCCACCUUAACAUUUAUCCUACGUGGUGAUACGUCUCCAACGUAUCUAUAAUUUUUGAUUGCUCCAUGCUAUAUUAUCUACUGUUUUGGACUAUAUUGGGCUUUAUUUUCCACUUUUAUAUUAUUUUUGGGACUAACCUAUUAACCGGAGGCCCAACCCAGAAUUGCUGUUUUUUGCCUAUUUCAGUGUUUUGGAGAAACAGAAUAUCAAACGGAGUCCAAACGGAAUAAAAUCUUCAGAAACGUGAUUUUUUUCAUCAGAUAAGAUCCAGGAGACUUGGACCCUCUGUCAAGAAAGCCACGAGGUGGUCACGAGGGUGGAGGGCCCCCCCCCUAGGGCAUGCCCCCUGCCUCGUGGGCCCCUCGAAGCUCCACCGACGUACUUCUUCCUCCUAUAUAUACCUACGUACCCCCAAACGAUUGGGGACGGAGCCAAAAACCUAAUUCCAUCACCGCAACUUUCUGUAUCCACGAGAUCCCAUCUUGGGGCCUGUUCCGGAGCUCUGCCGGAAGGGGAAUCGAUCACGGAGGGCUUCUACAUCGUCAUCCAAGCCCCUCCGAUGAAGUGUGAGUAGUUUACUUCAGACCUACGGGUCCAUAGUUAGUAGCUAGAUGGCUUCUUCUCUCUUUUUGGAUCUCAAUACAAUGUUCUCCCCCUCUCUUGUGGAGAUCUAUUUGAUGUAAUCUUCUUUUUGCAGUGUGUUUGUUGAGACCGAUGAAUUGUGGGUUUAUGAUCCAGUUUAUCUAUGAAUAAUAUUUGAAUCUUCUCUGAAUUCUCUUAUGUAUGAUUGGUUAUAUUUGCAAGUCUCUUCGAAUUAUCAGUUUGGUUUGGCCUACUAGAUUGGUUGUUCUUUCCAUGGGAGAAGUGCUUAGCUUUGGGUUCGAUCUUGCGGUGUCCUUUCCCAGUGACAGAAGGGGCAGCAAGGCACGUAUUGUAUUGUUUCCAUCGAGGAUAACAAGAUGGGGUUUUUAUCAUAUUGCAUGAAACUAUCCCUCUACAUCAUGUCAUCUUGCUUAAGGCCUUACUCUGUUUUUAACUUAAUACUCUAGAUGCAUGCUGGAUAGCGGUCGAUGAGUGGAGUAAUAGUAGUAGAUGCAGGCAGGAGUCGGUCUACUUGUCUCGGACGUGAUGCCUAUAUACAUGAUCAUACCUAGAUAUUCUCAUAACUAUGCUCAAUUCUGUCAAUUGCUCAACAGUAAUUUGUUCACCCACCGUAGAAUACUUAUGCUCUUGAGAGAAGCCACUAGUGAAACCUAUGGCCCCCGCGUCUCUUUCUCAUCAUAUCAAUCUCCAUCACUUUAUUAUUGCUUUGCUUUUACUUUGCCUUUUACUUUUCACUUUGCAUCUCUAUACCAAAAAUACCAAAAAUAUUAUUUAUCAUCUCUAUCAGAUCUCACUUUCAUAAGUGACCGUGAAGGGAUUGACAAACCCUAAGCGCGUUGGUUGCGUUGAGCUAUUGUUUUUGUGUAGGCACAAGGGACUCGAGCGUAACCUCCUACUGGAUUGAUACCUUAGUUCUCAAAAACUGAGGGAAAUACUUACCCUACUUUGCUGCAUCAUCCUCUCCUCUUCGGGGAAAUCCAACGCAGUGCUCAAGAGGUAGCAAGAAGAAUUUCUGGCGCCGUUGCCGGGGAGUCUGCGCAAAAGUCAACAUACCAAGUACCCAUCACAAUCCCUAUCUCCCGCAUUACAUUAUUUGCCAUUUGCCUCUCGUUUUCCUCUCCCCCACUUCACCCUUGCCGUUUUAUUCGCCCUCUCUCUCUAUCCUCCCUCUCUAUUUGCCCGUUUGCUUUUUGUUUGUUUGUGUGUUAGUUUGCUAGCUUGUCGUUAUGCCAAGUCCUUUACCUUCUGCCUCUAUGUCUGAAAUUGGGGAAAUUAUUGUUGAUAUGGACAAUAAUAAUAUCAUGAAAAAUUCUGAUGCUCCUGAUAAAGAACCUACCAUAUUUCAUACAAAAAAAUUCUGUGUUGGUAGUGGUAAUAUUAUUGGAAAAAGAGUUAUUCAAGAUUUAUUUACUUGUGUCGGUGCUUUACCUUAUAUGGGUAGUUCUAUCCUUCACAGAACUAGUAGUCUUGCAGACGCUAUUGCCAUGCUUGUAGUUUAACUUGAAAGACAAUUCAUGCACAUGCAUCCUUCCAUACAAAGGAUUUUUCUGGAAUUUUCUAAUAUUGAGCAUUCUUCUGUUAAGCGUGCCGCUACUAUCUUUUUGGCUCAUGAGUUUAGAUUCAUCAUAAAAGAAGCCAAAGAAAUAUUUGCGCAUUAUAGGGUGGACGCUUGUCGUCCUCCCAUAGAGGCUAUCCUCUUUGAUCAAGAAGAAAUAAUGCGUUUUCAAUCUCUAGACUAUGUUGCUUUCAGUAAAAAUCUUAGAAAAAGGGUUCCUACCAAUGUUUUAAUUGAUAGAAUUUCUGGACUUAAUGACGAUUUGGCUAUUCGAAAUAAUGAACUAGGAUAUUCUCUUGAAUAUAGGCUCACAAAGUUCUGUCAAAAGAAUGCUUAUAAUGAUGAAUUGGUUGUGCAUUAUGAAGGACCAAAGGAGGAACCUAUACCUCCCAAGGUUGAUCUUGGGGACUUUUGUCCUGUUAAAUUUAGCCCUUUUGAUUACUUUUGCUUGCCUCAAAGAAAACUUGCUGCCGAACAUAGAGAAUAUUAAAUGAGUUUUAAUAAUCUAUCUUACUAUUAUGGCAAUACCUAGAUCUAUUCUUGCUUGGUAUGCCUAGCUAGGGGCGUUAAACGAUAGCGCUUGUUGGGAGGCAACCCAAUUUUAUUUUUAUUCCUUGCUUUUUUCUCUUGUUUAGUAAUAAAUAAUUUAUCUAGCCUCUGUUUUGGCUGUGUUUUUUUGUGUUUAAUUAGUGUUUGUGCCUAGUAGAACCGUUGGGAAGACUUGGGGAAAGUCUUGUUGAACUUGCUGUAAAAAACAAAAACUUUAGCGCUCACAAGAACUGCUGUCAUUUUUAUUUGGAAAGUGCUAUUUAGUUAAUUCUUUUUGAAGAUGUUUAAUAUAUAAAUUCCUCACGUCCAUAUAUUUAUUUUAGAAUAUUUGGGGUUCCAGAUGUUGCGCUAGCUACAGAUUACUACAGACUGUUCUGUUUUUGACAGAUUCUGUUUUUCGUGUGUUGUUUGCUUAUUUUGAUGAAUCUAUGGCUAGUAAAUUAGUUUAUAAACCAUGGAGAAGUUGUAAUACAGUAAGUAUAACACCCAUAUAAAUAAAUAAUGAGUUCAUUACAGUACCUUGAAGUGAUCUUUUAUUCUCUUUCGCUAACGGAGCUCACGAGAUUUUCUACUUUAAGUUUUGUGUUGUGAAGUUUUCAAGUUUUGGGUAAAGAUUUGAUGGAUUAUGGAACAAGGAGUGGCAAGAGCCUAAGCUUGGGGAUUCCCAUGGCACCCCCAAGAUAAUCUAAGGACACCUAAAAUCCAAAACUUGGGGAUGCCCCGGAAGGCAUCCCCUCUUUCGUCUACUUCUAUCGGUAAAUUUAGUUGGAGCUAUAUUUUUAUUCACCACAUGAUAUGUGUUUUGCUUGGAGAGUCUUUUAUGAUUUGAGUCUUUGCUUGUUAGUCUACCACAAUCAUACUUGCUGUACACACCUUUUGAGAGAGCCAUACAUGAUUUGGAAUUUGUUAGAAUACUCUAUGUGCUUCACUCAUAUCUUUUAAGCUUUAUAGUUUUGCUCUAGUGCUUCACUUAUAUCUUUUAGAGCAUGGUGGUGGAUUUGUUUUAUAGAAACUAUUGAUCUCUCAUGCUUCACUUAGAUUAUUUUGAGAGUCUUAAUAGCAUCGUAAUUUGCUUAAAAUCCUAAUAUGCUUGGUAUGCAAGAUUAAUAAUAAAACUUUCUUAUGAGUGUGUUGAAUACUAAGAAAAGUUUGAUGCUUGAUGAUUGUUUUGAGAUAUGGAGGUAAUAAUAUCAAAGUCAUGCUAGUUGAGUAGUUGUGAAAUUGAGAAAUACUUGUGUUGAAGUUUGAAAGUCCCAUAGUAUGCACGUAUGGUAAACAUUAUGCAACAAAUUUGAAACAUGAGGUGUUAUUUGAUUGUCUUCCUUAUGAGUGGCGGUCGGGGACGAGCGAUGGUCUUUUCCUACCAAUCUAUCCCCCUAGGAGCAUGCGCGUAGUGCCGAGGUUUUUGAUGACUUGUAGAUUUUGCAAUAAGUAUGUGAGUUCUUUAUGACUAAUGUUGAGUCCAUGUAUUAUACGCACUCUCACCCUUCCAUCCUUGCUAGCCUCUUCGGUACCGUGCAUUGCCCUUUCUCACAUUGAGAGUUGGCGCAAACUUCGCCGGUGCAUCCAAACCCCGUGAUAUGAUACGCUCUUUCACACAUAAACCUCCUUAUAUCUUCCUCAGAACAGCCACCAUACCUACCUAUUAUGGCAUUUCCAUAGCCAUUCCGAGAUAUAUUGCCAUGCAACUUUCCAUCAUUCCGUUCAUCGUGACACAUUCAUCAUUGUCAUAUUGCUUAGCAUGAUCAUGUAGUUGACAUAGUAUUUGUAGCAAAGCCACGAUUCAUAAUUCUUUCAUACAUGUCACUCUUGAUUCAUUGCAUAUCUCGGUACACCGCCGGAGGCAUUCAUAUAGAGUCAUCUUUGUUCUAGUAUCGAGUUGUAAUCAUCGAGUUGUAAAUAAAUACAAGUGUGAUGAUCAUCAUUAUUAGAGCAUUGUCCCAAGUGAGGAAUAAAAAAGAAAGGCCAUAAAAAAGAGAAGGCCCAAAAAAAGGCCAUAAAAGGCCCAAAAAAUGAGAGAAAAAGAGAGAAGGGACAAUGUCACUAUCCUUUUACCAUACUUGUGCUUCAAAGUAGCACCAUGAUCUUCAUAGUAGAGAGUCUCUCAUGUUAUCACUUUCAUAUACUAGUGGGAAUUUUUCAUUAUAGAACAUGGCUUGUAUAUUCCAACAAUGGGCCUCCUCAAGUGCCCUAGGUCUUCGUGAGCAAGCAAGUUGGAUGCACACCCACUAGUUUCUUUUGUUGAGCUUUCAUAUAUUUAUAGCUCUAGUGCAUCCGUUGCAUGGCAAUCCCUACUCCUUGCAUUAACAUCAAUCGGUGGGCAUCUCCAUAGCCCAUUGAUUAGCCUCAUUGAUGUGAGACUUUCUCCUUUUUUGUCUUCUCCGCAUAACCCCCUUCAUUAUAUUCUAUUCCACCCAUAGUGCUAUGUCCAUGGCUCGUGCUCAUAUAUUGCGUGAAAGUUUAUAGGUUUGAGAUUAUUAAAGUAUGAAACAAUUGAUUGGCUUGUCAUCGGGGUUGUGAAUGAUGAGAGCAUUCUUGUGUGACGAAAAUGAAACAUGACUAAACUAUAUGAUUUUGUAGGGAUGAACUUUCUUUGGCCAUGUUAUUUUGAGAAGACAUAAUUGCUUAGUUAGUAUGCUUGAAGUAUUAUCAUUUUUAUGUCAAUAUGAACUAUUGUCUUGAAUCUUUCAGAUCUGAAUAUUCAUACCACAAUUAAGAAGAAUUACAUUAAAAUUAUGCCAAGUAGCACUCCGCGUCAAAAAUUCUCUUUUUAUCAUUUACCUACUCGAGGACGAGCAGGAAUUAAGCUUGGGGAUGCUUGAUACGUCUCCAACGUAUCUAUAAUUUUUGAUUGCUCCAUGCUAUAUUAUCUACUGUUUUGGACUAUAUUGGGCUUUAUUUUCCACUUUUAUGUUAUUUUUGGGACUAACCUAUUAACCGGAGGCCCAGCCCAGAAUUGCUGUUUUUUGCCUAUUUCAGUGUUUCGGAGAAACAGAAUAUCAAACGGAGUCCAAACGGAAUAAAAUCUUCGGAAACGUGAUUUUCUCAUCAGAUAAGAUCCAGGAGACUUGGACCCUCCGUCAAGAAAGCCACGAGGUGGUCACGAGGGUGGAGGGCGCCCCCCCAGGGUGCGCCCCCUGCCUCGUGGGCCCCUCGAAGCUCCACCGACGUACUUCUUCCUCCUAUAUAUACCUACGUACCCCCAAACAAUCGGGGACGGAGCCAAAAACCUAAUUCCACCGACGCAACUUUCUGUAUCCACGAGAUCCCAUCUUGGGGCCUGUUCCGGAGCUCCACCGGAAGGGGAAUCGAUCAUGGAGGGCUUCUACAUCAUCAUCCAAGCCCCUUCGAUGAAUUGUAAGUAGUUUACUUCAGACCUACGGGUCCAUAGUUAGUAGCUAGAUGGCUUCUUCUCUCUUUUUGGAUCUCAAUACAAUGUUCUCCCCCUCUCUUGUGGAGAUCUAUUCGAUGUAAUCUUCUUUUUGCAGUGUGUUUGUUGAGACCGAUGAAUUGUGGGUUUAUGAUCCAGUUUAUCUAUGAAUAAUAUUUGAAUUUUCUCUGAAUUCUUUUAUGUAUGAUUGGUUAUCUUUGCAAGUCUCUUCGAAUUAUCAGUGUGGUUUGGCCUACUAGAUUGGUUGUUCUUUCCAUGGGAGAAGUGCUUAGCUUUGGGUUCGAUCUUGCGGUGUCCUUUCCCAGUGACAGAAGGGGCAGCAAGGCACGUAUUGUAUUGUUUCCAUCGAGGAUAACAAGAUGGGGUUUUUAUCAUAUUGCAUGAAACUAUCCCUCUACAUCAUGUCAUCUUGCUUAAGGCCUUACUCUGUUUUUAACUUAAUACUCUAGAUGCAUGCUGGAUAGCGGUCGAUGAGUGGAGUAAUAGUAGUAGAUGCAGGCAGGAGUCGGUCUACUUGUCUCGGACGUGAUGCCUAUAUACAUGAUCAUACCUAGAUAUUCUCAUAACUAUGCUCAAUUCUGUCAAUUGCUCAACAGUAAUUUGUUCGCCCACCGUAGAAUACUUAUGCUCUUGAGAGAAGCCACUAGUGAAACCUAUGGCCCCCGCGUAUCUUUCUCAUCAUAUCAAUCUCCAUCACUUUAUUAUUGCUUUGCUUUUACUUUGCCUUUUACUUUUCACUUUGCAUCUCUAUACCAAAAAUACCAAAAAUAUUAUUUAUCAUCUCUAUCAGAUCUCACUUUUGUAAGUGACCGUGAAGGGAUUGACAACCCCUAAGCGCGUUGGUUGCGUUGAGCUAUUGUUUUUGUGUAGGUACAAGGGACUCGAGCGUAGCCUCCUACUGGAUUGAUACCUUGGUUCUCAAAAACUGAGGGAAAUACUUACGCUACUUUGCUGCAUCAUCCUCUCCUCUUCGGGGAAAUCCAACGCAGUGCUCAAGAGGUAGCACGUGGCAUUUCUAAUAUAUCACCAUUUUACAUGCCCUUAUCUUGCCUCGCUACAUUGGGCUGCCAUGUUUGGUCCUUAGUAUUACUCAUGUAUAUCAAUAUGGAGGUAUGCUUAACAUUAGGAUCUAUUAGUAGCACAUCGAUCAAACAUACAUGUAGUUGUUAACGUGUUGACAGUGCAGAUAAGAGACGACGGUUUUGAACCUAGCACCACCUCAUAUUAUAGAAAUAUACACACCACGCAACCAAAAUGACCAUCACAUAAUUUAACAAACAUUGGACCUGUAAUAAUAUUACAUCUAAAUAUCUUCUAGAUCACCCUCCACAUUCAUCUUGUCCAUGAUCACCCAACAAGUCAUCACCUCCCACAAUGUUGUUAAAUCUCAUUGUUUAGCAGGUCCACAAACAACUGCACAACGGGCUUGAAGCAUGCCAAAUGCCCACUCCACGUCGUUUCUAGCAUCUUAUUGUAUUGCAACAAAUUGAAAAUUUUUGUUACCUAUUGGAUCAAAGAGGGUGUUGACAAAGGUCGCCCACGGAGGACAGAUACCGUCACAAAGAUAGUACCCCAUAUUGUACUCAUGCACAUUGAUGGUAUAGUUGCAUGCAGGAGCUUCCCUCGCACACAACCUUGCAAACAAUGGAGACCAUUGCAGCAUGUUGAUGUCAUUGUGAGAUCCUGGCAUGCCGAACAAAGAGUGCAAAAUCUGGAGGUCUUGUGAUGCAACCGCUUCAAGAAUGAUGGUGGGAUUUUUGUGAUGGCCCUGGUAUUGCCCUUGUUGAGCAUACGAACAGUUCUUCAAUUUUUAGUGCAUGCAAUCCAACGAUCCGAGCAUAAAUGGAAACUCUCUUGAUUCUCCAAGUGACAUUAGUAUUUUUGUGUCUUUGACAUUUGAUUCUCUCAAGUACUUCGGUCCAAACAUGUUGUCCACUGCAGUAGCAAAUCCAACCUUGCCCUCUAGGCAUGUGCUCUCAAACAUCCAAAGGUACUCAUCCAUUGGUUUGCGUUUGUGCCAUACACAAGCAUCAUCAUAGUAGACGUGCAUGUCUAGAGAUCAGAGAACCCAAUGUGGUCAAUGGCAUCCUUCUUGACCUUUAAGGAGUCAUCAUAGACCCUGAUACCUUGCAUGAUGCGCAAGAACAAUGGUCACUCCAUCCGAAAUAGACGCUAGAAAUAGAGUUUAAAUAGCACAUCGAGGACCAAGUAAUCACUUUAGAAAUCAACAUGCCGCCGUGCUCGACGCAAAUUCAACACUCAAUGUCUCUUGUUGAACCUUAAAGUUGAGAACAUGCUCGUUCACACGCUCUGUUUCUUCAAGAGUCGAUAACACCACCGUUGUUUCAUCCUCAUCUUCCUCAUCCGACGAAGACAAAUCCAUGAACUCGGCGUACAAGUACUCAUCGUCUAAAUCAAUUUUCUUUAUUCAAUAUAAAUAAUGACAACGUUAAGAACUUGAUAUGGCAUUUGACCGAGCAAUUGAUGGGCGCGGUGUCCACCAUGGACGACAUCGGCAGGUGCGGAGGGUACCUGGGCGGCGGCUGAAUCCAGGGGAGUACGACGGCAGAAUUUGCCUAGGCGAGUAGGCGCAUGGGUGGAACGGCAGAGAUCCGACGGUUCCUUGGCGGCAUCCGGGGGGAUGGGGCGGCAUUUAUCUCCGGGAGCAGAGGAGUAGGGCGAUUGUGAAAAAAAAAGCAGGCUUGGGGUGGGGUUUUAGGUGGGUACAAGGAGUUGAAGUCCGACGUGGUAGACGUCCGGACUCCCCAUAGCCCUCUUUUGGGGUCGGUCUAUGGAAUUUCAAACGUUUGGACUAGUCUAGCCAGAUUUGGUGAUCCGCGUGGAUGGCCAAAAUUGUUCGGACGACCUAGUCCAGAAAUUUAGGGGCGUUUUGGUGAUCCGCAUUGAAGAUGCCUGUCAUAGACCAGUUCUCUAAAAUUGACUUUCUGCUUUUUUCUAGUUUUUCUCUGAAAAUUCUUUAUUUGGAUUUUCCUCUAUGGGUUUAUUGAGAAAUUGCUUUCUCUUUUUUCCUUUGCUCAAAUGAGUUGGAGUUAUACUAGUAAAAUCUUCUCCUGCCUAUUAUCCUUCAGAUAUGUUCUUCCCAGGUCCAAUCUUCUUGAGCAAGUAUUCAAACUUGCAUGUUUCAAUUUUUUUUUUGAAAAAAUACACAUAUAGUUAGAGACAAAAUGCAUAGCAUGUAAAUUUUCAGGAGGAAAUACCUUGAAAUGAGUGCUACGCAAAGAAAAACAAAUCCGAUGCUUUUAAGUAUAUGCACGAGUCAUCCUCAAAGUCCAUGAUUUUUUUUCACAGAUCAUAUUUCAAGGUAUUUCAUUCUGAAAUUGUACACACAUACACACGACGUCCUUGUUUACUUGUACAUUUUUUCAGAAAAAAUUUGAAACUGAAAAGUUUCAAUUUUGUUUUUAUUUUAAAAAUUCAGCCUUCAUGGAGACCGAGCUCCAAAACGCUCCACUCAUGCUAACGGCACAAUAUUUCAAGUGUGUCUGUAUAAAGUUCCCUAAAAAUGUUUUGUUUGCAUAAACGGUUGGAUCACUUGCUCUCAAUUUUCAAAAUGUGCCAUCCGUAUCAUUUGCACAACCACGUUGGGAAACCGGAAGGCUCUGGUUCCUCGUGACGCGGUGACGAAGUGAGAAGGCAUCCACUCACUUUUUCCAUAUCGGCAUCCCUUUGUGACGAUGCUGUUGAGUGUUGACUAUCAUACUCGGGUGGCAACCUGUGUGCCAAUCAGCUUUGGCCACGCCCAUAAACCAAAAAUGAACUUGAUCGGUUCUGGUUUGAGUCGGCUCGGUUAUGGUUCGGGCUUCAGACACGGCCAGGUUCGCUGUCGCUGUCUCACAAGUAAUACUUCCCCGCAGAAAGAAAACAAGAGCAUGAAAUGUGUAUAAUAAUCUACAAGGCUACAUGUACAGCUGCGGACCUCCCUUCUUAUUAGAUUAUAUUUCUUUGACGAGAAAAAGAAACUAUUUUCCUACUCCUAUUCAUGUUCCUGUUCUUGAGGUGUGCAUAUACUUGUUUCAUCUUGGUGAUAUUUGUGCAAAACGACCAAGAAGUAGCAAUUCUGAAAGGAAAAUCUAAGAGGGAACAAGGUCAUUCAUCUAGUACUACUACACUAAUAAUGAGCUUCAGUAGUAGUAAUAAAGUGUCACGGAGUAUAAAUCACUAAAACACAUGGUAAAUUAGUACACAGCCAAGUAUUAAGUUGAUUAGAGUCAGUUUUGGUCACUUCUUGGCACGGGUAUUGUUUACUAGAGCAGUUAACGAUGCCAUAUGCUCUGAACUUCUGAAGCUUUGUUUAAGCAGUAAAGCAUGAUCCACUCAAGCCUCUACAACAUGGCGCGUGCUUACCGAAGGGCUGAAAACCAAAUGCGCGCGGUUCGGUUCUGGUUCGGUUCGGCUCUGGGUUCUUGAGGCUGUAGAAGUCACGCUCCACUUUGCGCGUCUAAAGUCCGGUGCCUUGUAUAAAUACUUCCCCAUCUCCGAGCUCGAAACCUCAAACACAAACCCAUUUCCCCAGCAAACACCACCACCCAAGAGACGAACAAUGGGGUUCCUGGCCGCCUUCUCGAACCUGCUCGCCCUGAUUUCCGCCGCAUGUAGCAACGCGGGGAAGCUGCCGGCUGCUCUCAUCUCCUGCGGCGGCGUCGAUGCAGCUGCGGCGCUCUGCCUCGUCAUAUCCAAGGCGCCCGGAGGUAUAUUUCUCCACCACGGCAAAGCACCCUUCUUCUUGUACUACGGCAUCCUCGUCGCCGUGUUCGUCUUCGGGCUGGUCUAGGCGUCGGUCGGCUUCUGGGUGUCGGGCGAUGUGGUCGGACGACGUGCCGCCGGGAAGACCAUCCUCUGGUUGGGACUCCUGCCCAUUGUCUUCGUGGCUGCGCUUGGAGGCUUUGUCAUUCUGAGCACGAAAUAGUUCAUCAUCCUGCGCCAGUUCUGUGUCUGCAUGCCUGUACGUGCGUGUGUCAGUUAGUGAGCUUGAUGUACCAUUUGCUUCAACCUGUUAUCCGUUCUAGUAUAUGUUUGUGGUAAUGGGGCUUUUUGUCCGAAACGGAGAGUCUCAGGUUCUGUUAGGAUAUGGUAACAGAGUUUCAGGUUCUGCCCUGCUUUCUGAUCGAUGUGAGAUGGUCAUUGAUCUGGUCUCUGCCUUGUUACGAACAGAAAUUCAUCUAUUGCAUUUUGGCACAUAGUUGUUCUGUUCCCCUCUCAGAAAUCAGAGGACUUUCUUCAGUACCGUCCGGGCAAUUCAUACGCCCGAAUCGCCCCCUGCAGCUGCGGGCGGACGACGGGCCGCCGGGAAGACGAUGCUGUGGCUGGGCCUGCUCCUGCCCGUCGUCUUGGUGGCUGCGCAGUUUCAUUUCCUUCCCCUUGCGUUAUGCACCGGUCUGUUUGUGCCUUUGUGGAUCGAUGGACAACGGAGAAUGGAUGUUCUGUUGUGCCUUCGAUACAUGUGAAAUUGCUAGUAAUGUGGUCUCCCCUGUUUUUUUAGAAUGAUCUCUUUUUUCAUGUAUAUGAACGAAAGUACACCAGUUGUAGCGGAAAAAGACAGGGGAACAAAGUUCAUCUGGAUACGUACGAACCGUUUUCCCCUAACCUAGCCGCUGCCAGAUGAAGGCGACUAGGGAGGCGAUCCUCUACCUCCGAUCUACACUGGCCAUGGCUGGUCCCCUCUCCCUCCGAGUGCCGCUUCGGCGGCAGGAGGGAGGGGGGGUCCCGUUUUCUCCGCUCUGUAGUUAGGGUUUGGUUUUGUAGGUCGUGGUGAGCCGUUGGAGUGGUGGGAGCGGCCCCCGGACGAAUGAAUCUACCUCAGCUCCACUCCCACACCGGUGGUGUCCAUCAUGGUGGCAUCUCAGAGUUGAUGGCAUCGUGCGUUUAUCGAUCUUUCAGUUUGGCGGCGUUAGUAUUCAUGGAUGGUGUCAGCAAGGAGGCGGCGGCGACCCCUUCAGGUGUGUCUCGUCUUCUGCUUUGUCCCUGUUGUUGUGGCGUUGUCUCCAACGUCACGGUGGAGCAGGCGUAGAAUUAUGGAUUGAUUCUCUCUGUGUAUUACAACAUGUUAUAUAUGAAAAACGACGAAAAUAUGAUGAAUCUGAAUACGCUAUCCACAUACUCCACAUACUUGUUACAUGCCUCUAACACUGCGAACUUGAAACCGUUCCCUCCAGAUCAUCUGUCGGAUAGAUGCGUGGAGCCGGGAAAAUAUUCUCGGAUUUUUCCCGCACCGUCUGUAACGUGUAGCCCUGCGUUAGGUCACCCUUAGCAUAGCUUACGGUCAUGCCAUGCUUUCUAUUGCUUUGUAUGUCUGUUAUUUAUUGUUUCUUCCCCAUCCUUCCUCUUCGGUAGACCCCGAGACCGUUGAUGCUUCGGUGUUCGACUGCGGCUACGCUUUCAAAGAUUCCUGGCGUCUGCAGAGCUUCCAGGCAAGCAAAACCUACUUGAUUAUUUCGAUAUCGCCCAUUCCAUUAUCUCUCAUGCUUGCAUUAGAUUUUGCUACUGUAAUUGUUUGCUCCUAUUCUGAUGCAUAGCCUGUUUUUGUAACCUGAUUUUGUACCUUACCUGCUUAUCCUAUAUGCCUAGUAUAGGUUGGUUAGUGAUCCAUGAGUGACCCCUCACCUUGUCUCUGUUGCCCCCGCUUUAUGACAGAUCGCUCGAUUAACGUGAUCGGNNNNNNNNNNNNNNNNNNNNNNNNNNNNNNNNNNNNNNNNNNNNNNNNNNNNNNNNNNNNNNNNNNNNNNNNNNNNNNNNNNNNNNNNNNNNNNNNNNNNNNNNNNNNNNNNNNNNNNNNNNNNNNNNNNNNNNNNNNNNNNNNNNNNNNNNNNNNNNNNNNNNNNNNNNNNNNNNNNNNNNNNNNNNNNNNNNNNNNNNNNNNNNNNNNNNNNNNNNNNNNNNNNNNNNNNNNNNNNNNNNNNNNNNNNNNNNNNNNNNNNNNNNNNNNNNNNNNNNNNNNNNNNNNNNNNNNNNNNNNNNNNNNNNNNNNNNNNNNNNNNNNNNNNNNNNNUGUACGACUCUGCAGAGCUACUAUCGAGUGCCGAGGGUGAUACCUGAUACGUCUCCAACGUAUCUAUAAUUUUUUAUUGUUCCAUGCUACUAUAUAUUCUGUUUUGGAUGUUUAAUGGGCUUAUUUAUACACUUUUAUAUUAUUUUUGGGACUAACCUAUUAACCGGAGACCCAGCCCAAAUUGCUGUUUUUUGUCUAUUUCAGUGUUUCGCAGAAAAAAAAUAUCAAACGGAGUCCAAACGGAAUGAAACCUUCGGGAACGUGAUUUUCGGAACAAACGUGAUCUAGAGGACUUGGAGUCUACGUCAAGAAAUCAACGAGGAGAGCACGAGGCAGGGGGCGCGCCUACCCCCCCAGGCGCGCCCUCCACCCUCGCGGGGCCCACGUUGCUCCACCGACGUACUUCUUCCUCCUAUAUAUACCUACGUACCCCCAAACCAUCAGAGGCAUCCACGAAAACCUAAUUCCACCGCCGCAACCUUCUGUACCCGUGAGAUCCCAUCUUGGGGCCUUUUCCGGCGUCCUGCCGGAGGGAGCAUUGAUCACGAAGGGCUUCUACAUCAACACCAUAGCCUCUCCGAUGAUGUGUGAGUAGUUUACCUCAGACCUUCGGGUCCAUAGUUAUUAGCUAUAUGGUUUCUUCUCUCUCUUUGGAUCUUAAUACAAAGUUCUCCACGACUCUCGUGGAGAUCUAUUCGAUGUAAUCUUCUUUUGCGGUAUGUUUGUCGGGGCCGAUGAAUUGUGGGUUUAUGAUCAAGAUUAUCUAUAAACAGUAUUUGAAUCUUCUCUGAAUUCUUUUAUGUAUGAUUGGUUAUCUUUGCAAGUCUCCUCAAAUUAUCAGUUUGGUUUGGCCUACUAGAUUGAUCUUUCUUGCAAUGGGAGAAGUGCUUAGCUUUGGGUUCAAUCUUGCGGUGUCCUUUCCAGGUGACAGCAGGGGCAGCAAGGCACGUAUCGUAUUGUUACCAUCGAGGAUAACAAGAUGGGGUUUAUAUCAUAUUGCAUGAGUUUAUCACUCUACAUCAUGUCAUCAUACUUAAAGCAUUAUCUAUUCUUAUGAACUUAAUACUCUAGAUGCAUGUUCGAUAGCGGUUGAUGUGUGGAGUAAUAGUAGUAGAUGCAGGCAGGAGUCGGUCUACUUGUCACGGACGUGAUGCCUAUAUACAUGAUCUUACCUAGAUAUUCUCAUAACUAUGCUCAAUUCUAUCAAUUGCUCGACAGUAAUUUGCUCACCCACCGUAAUACUUAUACUCUUGAGAGAAGCCACUAGUGAAACCUAUGGCCCCUGGGUCUAUUCUCCAUCAUAUUAAUCUUCCAACAUUUAGCUAUUUCUAUUGCCUUUUAUUUUACUUUGCAUCUUUAUUUCUCCUUAUCAUAAAAAUACCAAAAAUAUUAUCUUAUCAUAUCUAUCAGAUCUCACUCUCGUAAGUGACCGUGAAGGGAUUGACAACCCCUUUAUCGCGUUGGUUGCGAGGUUCUUAUUUGUUUUGUGUAGGUGCGAGGAACUCGAGCGUAGCCUCCUACUGGACUGAUACCUUGGUUCUCAAAAACUGAGGGAAAUACUUACGCUACUUUACUGCAUCACCCUUUCCUCUUCGAGGGAAAAACCAACGCAGUGCUCAAGAGGUAGCAAUACCUCGUAUAGCACUUAUGAUGUUAACUCUGUAGUGUAGCUAAUUGUUCGUGGUCUUCGAGGGUGAUUCCUCCUUUACCACUCUCGAUAAUGACUAUGUCGUGCAACCCCUCAAGUGUGAACCAUUGAGGAUGAUUCCUCCUUAGUUCACCUUGACGAUUACAUCAGAUGGAUUCCGUCAAGGGUGAUUCCUCGAAUUCCCCCUUGGUGUUUUGGACACACGGUUACUUUGACUUUACCACGGAACCAUGUUGAAUUCGGGUCGGCCCUGAGGGGUACCCGCGAGUUGAUGUGUAGUUGGGUUGACCUGGAGGGUACCCGCGAGAUUUCUGUGUGGCACGGUCGGGCAUUCUGGGCCCUUCCCGUAAGUCCAUGAGAUGGGGCGAUGGGGUCACAUGAUCGUGAGUCUCUUCUCGUUACCACGCGCUCCCAAGACACUAACGGUUUGAGUAUUUGAUCUGAGUUGGCCAUUGGCCUAUACGCACUAACCAUCACGCGGGAAUAGAUAUGGUCACUCGACAUCGUAUGUAUCAGCCGAAGCUCUCCAGAUGUCAGCGACUGAGCGCCGCGUGCCGGGUUGGACUAGAACGCCUGUGCUUGUAUAAGGGUGCUAGGUCUGCUCACUGACCGUGUACGCAACAUGCAGGAGUGCAAAGGGCGAUGGGCCCAAGACCCCUGCGCGCUUAGGAUGUAGACCGGCAUGCUGACCUCUUUGUUGAGCCUAGGUAGGGCUACGACGUGUUGAUCUUCUGAGGCCGGGCAUGAUCUAGGAAAGUGUGUCCGGCUAGAGUGAUCGAGCGUGUUGGGUAAUGUGGUGCACCCCUGCAGGAAAGUUAAUCUAUUCGAAUAGCCGUGUCCACGAUAAGAGGACGACUUGGAGUUGUAUCCCGAUCUUUACAAGUAGAACUGGAUACUGAGAUGUGGAUUGGAUAUGAUGGCUCCGGGAUUGCUUUCUCGUAGGAAGCCGAGAAAGGAUCUCUGGGUGUUAAUGCUACAACAUGCUUGAUAAUUAUAAAAUGCUAUUAUGUACUCUUCUAAAUGCUGGAAGAUGCUUGAAGAUGCUAGUCUUCGAUGGGCUAGGCUUUCCCCUUCUCUUUUGGCAUUCUGCAGUUCAGUCCACAGAUACAGUCCAUUCAUUUGAUAUCGAUGCAUACUUAGUUUAGAUCUGAUGUAAGUCUUGUGAGUACUUUGGAUGAGUACCCACGGUUGCUUUGCUACCCAUUUUUCCCUAUACCUGAUUGUUGCGUUCAGAUGGUGGAUCCCAAGAGCCAACUACCACCGCCAUCGACUACUACUACUCCGAGGGUGCCUACUGCUACGUGGAGGCCAUCGCUGACUAGGAGUAGUCAGGAGGCUCCCAGGCAGGAGGCCUUGCCUUUUCGAUCAUCAAUGAUGUUUGUGCUAGCCUUCUUAAGGCAAACUUGUUUAACUUAUGUCUAUACUCAAAUAUUGUUGCUUCUGCUGACUCGUUUGUAUUCGAGCUUAUGUAUUUGAGCCUUCGAGGCCCCUGGCUUGUAAUAUAAAUCUUGUAUUAUUUUAAUUUGUGUCUAGAGUUGUGUUGUGAUAUCUUCCCGUGAGUCCCUGAUCUUGAUCGUACACAUUUGCGUGUAUGAUUAGUGUAUCAUUGAAUCGGGGGCGUCACAGCUCCCCUCUAUAUUUUUUGUUUUUAAACUUUUUAAAAUCAAAUAAAAAAAUAAAAUGAUUCUCUAAAACUUCCGGGUUGUCUCCCCGGCAGCGCUUUUUUUUUAAAUCCAUUAAGCUAGGCAUAAAGUGAUCAAGUAUUUAAUCCACCCGGAUCCCAAGGUAUAUCAAAGCUAAUUUUAAUUAACAAUGGUUUGUAAUUUAGUAGUGAGCACAAAGCAACAUAUAUCACAUAACAACGGAGUCUAACUCUCUUCCUAUGCAUCGGCAUGUCAUAAAAGAACAAUUUGUGCACACAUAGUAAAGGCCGGUACAUUGCAUAAAUAGUUUCUUGCAAUUUUAUCGUGUUGGAAACACAGAGAGGUGGAGAUGUAGUUCCUCUCUCAAAAUUUGCAAGUAGGAGCAGCAAUCACAUGCAUAUUAUACUCAUAAAAAUCAUCAUGUACAAUAGUAAAACGCAACCCAUCAAUAUAAUCUUUAAUAAGAGCAAACUUCUCCGAUAUAGUGUAGUUUGGAGAAUUCAAAAUGAUAAUAGGACUAUCAUGUGUGUGUGCAAUAGCAACAAUUUCAUUCUUAACAUAAGGAACUAUAGCAAGUUCAUCUUUCUAAGCACAAUUCAUAUUGGCAUCAUGACCACAAAGCAUAUCAAGAAUCAAUUUCAUCAAAAAGGGAUAGUUCAAACGAAUAAGGGAUCAUAGAAAUUAUCAUAGCAUUCAUCCUUCGGUAAGCAGGAAGGGAAAUUAAACAAUGUAUGAGUGGAAGAGUUACUCUCAUUAGAAGGUGGGCAUGGGUAGCUAAUCUGCUCUUCCUCCUUUUGUUCUUCGCUCUCCUCGUCAUCUUUUUCAUCUAAUGAGCUCAUAAUUUCAGCAAUUUCUUCUUCCAUAGAUUCCUGCGAAAUAUUAGUCCUUUCUUGGACAGCGGUAACUUUCUCAAGAAACUCAUUAAUUAAUAUCGGCAUUGUAUUCAUAAUUCUCAUAGCAAUAUUUAAGUAUAGCAUAAUUUUCACAUCUGUAAACAGCAUCAUCACAAUCUUCAUACUCUUCAAACAAAAAUUCAAUUUCAUAAGCACCCUUAAACGCAACAAAUUCUUCUAUUUGUUCCACAUCGUAGUAAUUAUAUAUAUCAUUAGCAUAAGAAGCCAGUGUUUCAUUAUCAUUAAAUUCACAUUGAAAGAGGAGGUGUGUAGCCUUCAUCUUAGAGCAACAAGUACAAUCAUAUCUUAAGCAUAAAUUCCAAGCAUACCAAUGCAAUUAAUUUGAUCCCAUAAGUGUUUCCCUUUUUGAGACAAGUGAUAAUACCUAAAGUAUUCCUGGUGAUCCAAAGUAUCUCACAUUAUCAAGUUGAAUGGGAAUUUAUCAGGAUUAUCGAAGUAGUAUUUAAUGUUUUCCACAUAACCAGCAUCGAGUGUUUUUGGAGAUUCCCCCUCUCCAUGAGUAGCAAGUACAACUAAUAUUUUUGGUAUUUCGUGCUCCAUAUCCAUAACUAAAGAUAGAGAACAACUUAGAGCAGGAAAAAAAACUCCGCGGGAGCCGGAUCCACCUCCGCGGCGGCAUUGCCGCACACACCACAAACUCGCGGGCCGUGCCUUCGGCAUGGGCCUGCAGGCGGGGUGGCCGUGCAUCCACCGCUUGUUCUCUUCCACGACUCUAUUCCUCGCGGUACCCACAGCUGCUCCCACGGGCAGGGCUAUGCGCGCGAGCGCGCGCGCGAACCGGGAAGCCCAGCGGAGCGCGUUCGUACCAAGGUCGCGUUGCCGUGGGCGCCACGGUGGCAUCACGAGAGAAAUCACGCCUCUUCUUUGGCGGGAGCAGCUCAUGUGUUCCCUUUUUCGCAGUGGAGAACCUCCUCACUGGCGCCAUGGACGCUCUGGCAAAAUGGCGGGACGAAGAAGAAGGUGAAGCAAGAGGCGAGAGGAUGACGACGAGCUGGGGGCUCCGCCCCUUCUCCCAUUUAUAGCUGGAGGAAGGCUAAUCGUUGGCCUCUCAGUUCAAAGCAAUAAUGGCCUUCCUGCAUGCAGCAGGCAGUUGUCGCAUCUGGCGGUUACCGAGGUGGUGUGGGGAAGUGGAGACGCCCACGUCCCAUCAAGCGCCACGCGUCGUCUCGGUCCGCAGGCGAUUGGGGCCCACGAUGCUUCGCCCUUGCCCUUUGGCUUCGCCUCGAAGCCAAGUCCAAGCGCACCUUGGGCCCGGGGGCUACUGUCGGCAUUCUGGGAACCAGGGUACCCAGGCUUGCCUGCCUGCGGCCCAGGGCAUGGCUCCAUUGGCGGCCUGGUACGGCCCAUCUACGACACCAACAAGGCAAGACCCUCGCGAGGGGUCAAGCCUCGCAAGGUGGGCGAUGCCAAGACCUCCUGAGGGAGCGGCCUCCCCUAGGCUGCUCCCGAGGAGCGGAGAUUUCUGUGCAAGUGCCCAACCUCAUGAGGUUGGGGUGAUGCAAGCCAUGACGACCAAGGCCAGGCGGGCGCCAGUGGGCGCAAAAGUGCAAGUUUCCUCUUUGGUGCUAAGGAGGCAAGCGCAGGCACGGGGUCCCGAGGAAUCAGGCAAAUGUUUCCAUUUCCGUGCAACGAGACCAAGGCCGCUAGGGCGGCGGGAAGGAUGUCAUCGCCGAGCCCACUGCAGCGUCACAACCAAAAGCUUUGCAGACGAAGACCUCGUUGCGUCAGGAUAAGAUGUACUACUUGUCCCCCUUCAAAUUGGCCACUGUGGGAUCCCUUCCCACCUUGUUUUGAGGUAAGAGGACCGAGACCACUAUAAAUAUAGGUUAGCCACCACCAAGAGGGGGAUGGGAUGAAUCCACACCUCAUCACCUCACACCCGCACAAGAGCAGACCUCGUGAGGUUGUUCUUCCCAUGUACUAGUUCAUCCUGAGCCCCUCGUGAGGCAAAUCCACCACAAAGCAGGAGUAGGGUCUUACACCGCAAGGCGGCCCGAACCUGGGUAAAACUGUCGUGUUCAUCUUCUUCCCUGUUCCUUGAGCUAGGCUACAUGGCGACGCGUUGGUUGGCCGGAGAGGUUGAGUUCUUCGCACAUGCCCCAGAGUUCGAACCUCUUGGGUCUGCGGAGCCCUGAAUCAGACAAUGUGUGUCAAGCGCUUCGUAGUCGGAAUUGUGCAAGUGUUUGGCCCGAAGUAUUUGAGAUCUCCCAAUGCUGAAGAUGCCGAAAGGCUUUUGGAGAUGAACAAAGCUCGCGGGUUCACAGGUAUGCUUGGCUCAAUAGAUUGCAUACAUUGGAGUUGGAAGAACUGUCCUAAGGCAUGGCAUGGGCAAUUCCACGGCCAAAAAAGGGUUCCGCUAUAAUCCUUGAAGCCGUGACCGAUCAAGAGACUUGGAUUUGGCAUGCUUUUUUUGGAAUGCAUGGAUCUUUGAAUGACAUCAACGUUGUUAAUCGGUCACCACUCAUGAAUAAGAUUGCAAAUGGUGAAUUGCCACUUGUGCAUUUUGUAGCAAAUGGCCAUACAUACAACUAUGGCUACUAUCUUGCGGAUGGCAUCUACCCAAAAUGGCAAAUAUUUGUGAAGCCGUUGAAAAAACCAGAAGGUAAGAAAAUUCUAGAUUUCCACAAUGCUCAGACGGCGGUUAGGAAAGAUGUGGAGAGAGCUUUUAGGAUUUUGUAAGCCCAAAUUGCUAUUGUGAGAGGACCAGCUAGAUUUUGGGAUCAAAAGAUGCUUUGAUACAUCAUGCACGCUUGUGUGAUCAUACACAAUAUGAUCAUCGAGAAUGAGAUUGGCCAAGAUUUAGACUACUCUCAGUGUGAUCUCUUGGGACAUCCCAUGCGAGUGCAGCGGAGGGCUGGGAGGGUGGCCCGAUUUGUUGCCUCCUAUCAUGCCAUUCGACGUGCCGAAAAUGCAUGAUGAUAUUCAGAAGGAUCUCAUCGAGGAGUGGUGGGCAUGGAAUGGCCGACAAAGAGCAUGAUGAUUUGUAUGUUUGAUGUUGCAUUGUUGAACUAUUUGUUGUAUUGAAAGAUAAACUAUUCAUUUGAGUUGUAAUAAAAGUGAACUAUUUAUUGUUGAUUUUUUUUAUGUUUGAUCUUUUUGGUAUUGUUUGGAAUGCAUAUGUUGUUUGUAGAUUAGCGUGCACGCCUUUUUUGCAGCGCCUGCUGGAGUGGCUCGGGGACGCUAUAUUUUGCAGCGGCCGCUGUAGCCAGCGCACCACGGCACGCAAAAACUCAUAAUUCCGGCGCGCUAAACGGUUUUUUAGCGCGCCGCGCAUUGCGUGGCUGUUGAAGAUACUUGAAGUCUGUAACUCUAUCUUCUAAUCGCAAUGAACAUAGUAACCUGUGCUUUCGUCAAAAAUAAAAAAUAAAUAGAGUAACAAUUACAUAUUACGGCUGUAUCUUUUGCACGCCCACGUUGGAAAACCGGAAACUUAUGUGUUCGGGUAUGGUUCAUGGUUUCGCAACAUGGAGUGACGAUGACGGUCAUGCCCAGCCUGCCGGGCCCACAGCGUGACAACGCCCCUAAACAAAAAAUUUACUUGCACCAUUUCCAUAUAUCUAUCUAUACAUAACUUACUAUUACAUCACUACACACGCAGCGUGAAGAUGUUGUUGACUUUUGUAAUAUCUCAGGUGGCACGCUUUCUACCAAUCAUCUUUGGCAAGCGCCAUAACCAGAAACAAUUCCCGAGCACAUCAUCGGCUUUGGUUUCAUUCGGUUCGGUUCGGUUCUGGUUCCAGCCUCCGACACUGCCAGGUCGUUGUCGUUGAAUGCCUCCAAGUAAAUGAAUGAAACCUCCUUCUCCUCAAAUAAGAAUGAAACUUAAUCUACAAGCCUACGACUGCAUAUGUAUACAAUUGUGGACGCUCUAUUCUUGUUAGGUGGCAUUUCUUUACUGAAAAAAAUAUAUUCAUGUUCUUGCUCUCUUGGGAUGUGCAUAUGUCUGAUUUUUUUAGGUAAUAACUCUUAGUUUAUCAUGUUACACGAUGUUCGAUAUAUGGGCUUAAGAUUUUCUUAUGCUUGUAACAUGUGAUUUGUUUAGUUUUAUAAAUCAAUAAGUCGGGCCAGUUUUCUAAUAUUGCACUCGUAGGUCUAUAAUUUAGGUGCAGUGUUUUCCUUGAUAAUGGAAGAGCAAUUUAAGUGUAAUAUUUAGUUCAUAUAGUAUUAUUUAUGCAGACAAUGCCUUGCAAAUGACUACAGUUAGGUAAAAAAAUAGAAAUGUCACAAAAUAUUUAAAAGUGGGCAGCUGAUAAACAGGUAAUAUCUACCUUACUCCAUCCGUUCCAUAAUAUAGAAUACUUUAGUGGAUCGCCUUUCACCUCCAAACUUCUACAUUUAUAAUGAUCUUACAAUGAACUUGUGUUUAUUUCAGGAAAAUGUACUCCUUGAAAAUUUGCAGUCAACUGAAUAAUACUUGUUUGUAGGUCGAGACCUUGAGCAACUAAUAUUUAUUUAAAUGUUAAUUGAGCACUUGCAUAGUUUAGAGAACAUUAGCAAGUUGAUCUUGAGAUUAAAACUGUACACAUUUUAAUACCUAAAGUUGCAUUGACCUAUUUGCGCAAUUGUAGUCUUGAUGGUAUCCAACACGAUAGAUUGAGAAAUAAUUUUUAAAACAACUAAGAAAUAGCAACUGUGCAAGAAAAUAUUACAUUGUACUAAAGCUGCGAUAAUAAAAAUGGAUUGGAGGGAGUAGCAACUUUGAUCUAGAGAUUAGAGAUGUGAAGAUCUUAGUAAUAUCUAAAGUUUUUUGUUGUUGUGAAAGUACUAAUAUCUAAAGUUUUUUUUGCGAAAAGUAAUAUCUAAAGUUGCAUAAACGUAUUUGUACACUGGUAAUUUUGGUGAUACGCAACUCGACCAGGUGAGAAAUAAUUUUUGAGAGAGUAAGAAAUGGCAGUUCCGAAAGCGAAAGAAUAGUCUAGGAAGGAAAACGCAAAAAAAAAAAAUCAAAGAACGAAUGUGACACGAAAGUUUCUCAGUCGUCUUGGUUGCUUACGUACGCGGAUGAUCACGACAGAGAACCCAGUGCCCUGGGAAGGGAAACCAAAUGGCUUGGUUCGGUUCUUUCGGUUUCGGUUCUGGCUUGUGGCAAGGACUGCAAAAGUCACAUAAUACUAGUGGGUUUGAAUUCUCUCCACUUUGUCGCGCGUCUUCCUCCUCCUUAUAUAAUCCCCACCUUUUCCUAGCUCCAAACCUCAAGCCAAGCUCGCUCAUAGCUCCACAGCCCACACACGAGACGUGCAAUGGAUUCCCUCGCGUCCUUGAUCAACCUCGCCGCCUUGAUCCCCGGCGCCUGCCGCGACGCGGAGAUGCUGCCGGGUGCGCUCAUCUCCUGUGGCGUCCUCGAGGCAGCCGCAGCGCUCUGCCUCGCCAUCUCCAGAGCGCCCGGAGGUAUAUUUCUCCACCAUGGCAGAGCACCCUUCUUCCUGUACUACGGCAUCCUCGUCGCCGUGGUGAUCUUCGGGCUCCUCGAGGCGUCGGCCGGCUUCUGGGUGUCAGGCGAUGUGGUCGGACGGGGUGCCGUCGAGAAGACGAUGCUGUGGCUGGGCCUCCUGCCCAUCGUCUUCGUGGCUGCGCUUGGAGGCUUUGUGAUUCUGAAAAUGAAGUAGUUUUUGACGGGUAACGAAAAUGAUGUGGUUGAUCCUUGCUUUCGACGUUCGCUAUCAUGUACCGAUGUUGUUGUAAUCUGUUAGUCUGUGUCAGUUGUAAUCUGUUUGUUUGUGUAUCAGCGGUGUCAUUUAUCAGCUUUGAGGUUUAUUUUCCUUCCAACUGUAGUAUGUUUGUGGAGAUGAUAUUUGGGUUAUUGCGCUGUAACUAAUAAUAAUGAAAUAACGGAGCUUGUGUGUAUGUCGUUGUGCGUUCGACCAAUAUGAAAUUGUUGUUUUGGGGGAUCUGAUCUCAGAGACGGAGCCAGGAUUCAAACAUAGGGGGGCGGACAAAGUUUUGCCUCUAAUGUAGAGACUCGUAAAGAAACAUACAAAGACAAUCUACAUUUUUUUUGUGAGGGAGACAGCCUAAAUCUUCAUCAAAACAUGUGUCUUCUGUGAUCAAUUUCAAUUUUUUUCUCGAAAUUUAUCAUAAAGAAAAUGCAAAAUCAACUCAUGUGUUAAUUAAUCUAAAUCUUUCAGUACAUGAUGUGAUAAACAAUGCAAAACCUUGUCCUAUGGGUAAACCGGUAAAGGGAUAUAUUCCCUAAUUAAUCUUUCAUUCUUAUAUAGUAACCACAGUUCGAAUUGUGAGGUUCUAAAGGCAUGAAUUAAUAGAAUAACUAACGAGACUAACCUUAACCCCCUUUUCCUUGCUCGCCGCUUCUCAAUAUGGUCGCGGCCGGCCGGCCGGCCGCGCGUCCUUGCAAGGAUGGCCCUCGGCCCUCAUCAGCACAUACACGCCCUCUUGCGCGCAAGGAUCGUCGGCUCAGGCUCAUUGAAACGCCGCUGGUCAAGAACAUUUUUUUAGGGUUGGCGCUCGUCAAGAACUGCCCUAGACGGCUAUCAUCGAUAGGCAUCGCACGCAAGAAAAACAAACGAUCUUGAUCUGAUCUUGUCCCUUUUGUUGGGCUACUGCUGCAGGUGUGCUAAAGAUGGGCUUGGUGAUUUUGUUGGGCUUCACGUGGUGAGGGGGGGCGCUAUUAGCAAAAUAGUCACUUUUUCCUGCCGGGCUGCUAAUCGCCAACGNNNNNNNNNNNNNNNNNNNNNNNNNNNNNNNNNNNNNNNNNNNNNNNNNNNNNNNNNNNNNNNNNNNNNNNNNNNNNNNNNNNNNNNNNNNNNNNNNNNNNNNNNNNNNNNNNNNNNNNNNNNNNNNNNNNNNNNNNNNNNNNNNNNNNNNNNNNNNNNNNNNNNNNNNNNNNNNNNNNNNNNNNNNNNNNNNNNNNNNNNNNNNNNNNNNNNNNNNNNNNNNNNNNNNNNNNNNNNNNNNNNNNNNNNNNNNNNNNNNNNNNNNNNNNNNNNNNNNNNNNNNNNNNNNNNNNNNNNNNNNNNNNNNNNNNNNNNNNNNNNNNNNNNNNNNNNNNNNNNNNNNNNNNNNNNNNNNNNNNNNNNNNNAUAUGAAUUGCUGCCUGCUGUAGAAGAAGCAGAGGGGAACGAAUUAGUUCGUCCGGUACUCCCUCUCCCUCCCCAGUGUGCUGUAAUGUGCUCGGCCUGGUCCAUUCCAUUAAAUUUCUGGGCCAAACUUGCGGUAGCCUUAAAAAAACUAGCCUGGCCCAAACUUUUGAACAUGUACAGGCUGAACUCACGCAGCCCAUAGACCUUCCCGGGCCCAACGACCGACUGAAAGCGUGUCUGUAUAAUCUCAAAAAAACAAAAAAAACGCGUGUGCUUUCUUCUCCGCGUCCUACUGCAUUCGGCGCAUUCGUUUCACCGUUUUUUUUUUCUCUGCUCGGCUGCUGACAGCCGCAUUGUAUAUCGUAUUGUUGAGAGACAAGCGUCCUCUUAGCCUUCCUACCUGCCGCAUUGUAUAUCGUAUCGUCUUUUGUCCGCUCGGCUGCUCCCCCAGCUUUCCCCUCCAUUGACCACGCUCGAACUGCUCGUGCCGGAUCUGAUGGAGGCCGCGAUCGCAUGGCUGGUGCAGACCAUCCUUGCAACCCUCGUACUCGAGAAGCUGGAUGCGUGGAUUCGACGGGUUGGGCUAGCCGAUGACGUUGAGAAGCUCAAGUCGGAGAUCAGGAUAGUCAAGAUGGUGGUCUCUGCUGUGAAGAGCAGAGGGAUCAGGAACGAGUCGCUGGAUGAAUCUCUCGCUCUUCUCAAGGAGCGGCUCUAUGAAGCUGACGACGUGGUCGACGAGCUCGACUACUACAGGCUCCAGGAGCAAGUCCAAUGAGGUACACCUACUGCCCGGCUGCCUGCCCCUGCAGAUUCGAGCGUGCUAAUUCACUCCAACUUUUCUGUCCAAGGAGGUACGCACUUUACUACCUGCAUAUUCAAUACAAUACAAGCGUAUUAUUCGUUUGAGAUCCUAUUUUGCUUAAGAAAAUGAAAUUUAUAUUAUCUGAUCAAGGGCGACCAUAAUUUAAUUUCUGGUCCAUGUUUCGGUCAGGCACAGUUACAGGGGAUGAUGAGCCCGGAGGUAUGCACGGAGUUGAGCGAGUUGAUGAGACAUCGAGGGGCGAUGCUAGUGACAGUGUUGGCAAAUUACGGUCCAUGGUAUGGGAACACUUUACCAUCACAGAAAAAGAUAACGGAAAGCCCGUCAAAGCAGUAUGUAAUGUACACACUGUAGCAAUGAGUUCAAGUGCGAUACAAAGACCAACGGGACGUCGUCUAUGAGAAAACAUUUGCAGAAUGAGCAUUCUGUGACUUGUACGAAGAAACCUCUUGGAGCACAUCCACCAGACCCUUCAUCAAGGUACCAAAUUCUUUCUAAGCUUGGGGCCACUGUGAUCUGCUUACAGAUCGUUUACAUGCAUCUGCUUGGGGCCACUGUGAUCCCAAUUCAUCCUUUUCUUGCAAAGCAGCAGUGCGCCUAUUGUAAUCGCCAGCUCAUCCAGGAGAAAAGGAAAGAGACGACGGUCCAUGGCAUGGGAACAUUUUGAUGUCAUGGAAGAAGAAAACGAGCAGCCUAUGAAAGCAAGAUGUAAAUAUUGUCCCACUCAGAUCAAGUGCGGACCCAAGAGCGGGACAGCAGGUAUGCUCAACCAUUACAAGAUCUGCAAGGACAAACCUGGACCAAAUGAGCAUCCGCCGAACCUAUCAAGGUAGCUAAACAACAACAUACCUUGCAUCAAAACAUUUUUUAAACCAUUUAAUUAAGACUCUUACUAUGGUUCUAAAAGCCAAUUAAUUCAUGAUGCUUUUGUUAUUCCAGCACUGGUGAUGCUCAUGCACAUGUGAUGCCAAUCCUAAUUGGCGACUCAUCUACCGGAAAAGGUAGAGUGGAUGAGUCCGCACGAAUAAUUGUGGAUAACACAGUCUCCCCUUGGGACAAGGCCGAGUUAUCCAACAAGAUAAAAAGAAUAGCUAGUCAGUUGCAAUUCAUCCGAGGGGAAGUGAGUGAGAUUCCCAAGCUACAUGGAUCAGACUCUCCUUCAUGUUCAGAUCACCACCGGAGUACAACAUCAGAUCAGCACUUAAGAACAUCAAGUCUUCUUCCAAGGAAAGUUUAUGGAAGAGUUACAGAAAAGAGUUGCAUCAUGAAAUUGAUAAUGACAGAAAACAGAUCUGACAACGUAGUUGUUGUGCCUAUUGUAGGCAUUGCAGGUAUUGGAAAGACAACUCUUGCUCAACUUGUGUACAAUGAUCCAAACGUGGAGCGUCAAUUUCACCAUAGGAUAUGGGUUUGGGUGUCUCACAACUUCGAUGAAAUGAGGAUAACAAGGGGAUGUUGAGCCUUGUUUCUCCAGAGAAACAUGAAGGAAUAGACUGCUUUGUGAAGCUUCAGGAGAUCUUGAAAAGUCAUGUCAAAUCUAAGAGGGUUUUACUUAUUUUGGAUGACGUCUGGGAGGACAAGAACGAUUGCCGAUGGAACCAAUUAUUGGCUCCUUUUCAGGCUGAGAGUGCUAAUGGCAAUGUGAUUCUUGUGACAACUAGAAAUUUCUCUGUUGCAAAGAUGAUUGGACCAACGGGGCCAAUUAAGUUAGGUGCUUUGGAAAAUGAUGACUUCUGGUUAUUGUUCAAAUCUUGUGCGUUUGGUGAUGCAAACUAUGAAUGACUUGGAAAUCUUAGCACCAUUGGACGACAAAUAGCAGAGGAGUUAAAGGGCAAUGUGUUAGCAGCAAUAACUGCAGGGGCACUAUUAAGAGAUCAUCUUACUGUUGACCAUUGGAGUAACGUUCUCAAGAAAGAGAGUUGGAAAUCAUUGGGACUCAGUGGGGGCAUCAUGCCUGCUUUGAAGAUUAGCUAUGAUGAGCUACCAUAUAAUUUACAACAAUGUUUCUCAUAUUGUUCUAUAUUUCCUAACAAAUAUCAGUUUCUUGGUAAGGAUUUGGUAUAUAUUUGGAUUUCUCAGGGAUUUGUAAAUUGCACUCAUUUUAGCAAGAGAUUGGAGGAGACGGGGUGUGAAUAUCUGAAUAAUUUGGUGAACCUGGGAUUCUUUCAGCAAGUUGAGAAACAACAGGACGAAGAUGGGCGUUUGGAAGAAGAAUUUUCUCCAGGCUGUCAGAUUUGGUAUUCUAUGUGUGGUCUCAUGCACGAUUUUGCGAGGAUGGUUUCAAGGACUGAAUGUGCAACUAUAGAUGGUCUACAGUGCAAUAAAAUGUUCCCAACCAUACACCAUUUGUCAAUAGUAACCGGUUCAGCAUACAACAAAGAUUGGCACGGGAACAUUCCUCGAAAUGAGAAGUUCGAAGAAAAUCUGAGAAAUAAAGUUAUAUCAGUUAGCAAAUUGAGAACAGUGGUUGUACUUGGGCACUUUGACUCUUUCUUUGUAGAAUUGUUCCAUAUAUAUUCUGUAAGGCACAAAAUUUACGCCUGCUACAAGUAUCUCCACCACCCACUUAUCUGUUUCACGUGCCUGCAGCAUCCACUGAUUUUAAUUCCUUCAGGUGCAGCUUGGCAAAUCCUCUGCAUGUUCGUUAUCUAAAACUUGAGUUGCAUGGGACUGUACCACAAGUUUUGAGUACAUUUUUUCAUCUUCAAGUAUGUGAUGUUGGAUCAAACAUGAAUACUUCUCUACCCAAUGGCUUGCAUAAUCUUGUUAGCCUGCGGCAUCUUAUUGCACAAAAGAGAGCCUAUUCUUCCAUUGCUAGCAUUGGUAACAUGACAUCUAUCCAGGAGCUACAUGAUUUUGAGGUCCGAAUUUCUAGAGGCUUUGAGAUUACACAACUCAAAUCCAUGAAUGAGCUUGUUCAACUUGGAGUGUCUCACCUUGACAGUGUUAAAACCCAGGAGGAGGCUUAUGAGGCAGGACUAAGAAACAAAGAACACUUAGAGGAGCUUCAUUUGUCCUGGAAUGAUACAUUUUCAGAGAACGAGUCUGUCAGUGACACUAGAUCUGAAUCUUCUGUAAACAUGGCAAGAGAAGUGAUUGAGGGUCUUGAACCACAUAUGGAUUUAAAGCAUCUACAUAUAUCUGGGUAUAAUGGUACUACUUCACCAACUUGGCUUGCCAGGAAUAUCUCAGUUACCUCCUUGCAGACACUUCAUCUUGAUGGUUGUGGAGGAUGGAAAAUACUUCCUUCUUUGGAAAGUCUUCCAUUUCUUACAAAACAAAAGUUGAGCAGCAUGCGGGAGAUAACAGAAGUAUUGGUUCCUUCACUGGAGGAACUAGUUUUACUCAAGAUGCCUAAGUUUGAUCUAUUUGAGAACAAUAAUAAAUUCGAAAUCAAGCAGAGGUCAUGGUUGCCUUCUCUUAGAAAAUUAAUUCUGUGUGAUUGCCCUCAAUUGAAAGUGUUGAAGUCCCUUCCGCCUUCAACAAUCUGUUCUGAGUUACUCAUCAGUGGAGUUUCCAUGCUUCCAGAUAUGGCGGGAUCAUCCAGCGGAAAUUUAAGUAUUGAUUAUGGUAAUCAGUAUAUAGACGAUGAUAUUGAUGAAUAUUCUGAUGUGUUGAGGAUACUGGAUGGAAAGUUUUUGGCAUUCCAUAAUCUUGGAAACCUCAAAUCGAUGAACAUAUGUGGUGCGACAAACCUGAGGUCUUUUUCGUUCCAAGGUUUUAGCCAUCUCAUCUCUUUAAGGAGUUUGGAAAUAAAAGAGUGCGAAAUACUUUUCUCUUCAGAUGUGACGCAGCCUACCCUUGAAGAUAUGACAACCUUCCCUUCACUUGGAAGUCUCACUAUUGAGUCAUGUGGAAUAGCAGGGAAGCAGCUAUCUCUGAUGUUGCAACUGUUGGAAAUAUGCCCUAGAGGCAAUAAUAAAAGUAUUAUUAUAUUUCAUUGUUCAUGAUAAUUGUCUUGUAUUCAUGCUAUAACUGUAUUAUCCGGAAAUCGUAAUACACGUGUGAAUACUUAGACCACACUAAGUCCCUGGUAAGCCUCUAGUUGACCAGCUCGUUGUGAUCAACAGAUAGUCAUGGUUUCCUGACUAUGGACAUUGGAUGUCGUUGAUAACGGGAUCACAUCAUUAGGAGAAUGAUGUGAUGGACAAGACCCAAUCCUAAGCAUAGCAUAAAAGAUCGAGUAGUUCGUUUUGCUAGAGCUUUGCAAGUGUCAAGUAUCUCUUCCUUCGACCAUGAGAUCGUGUAACUCCCGGAUACCGUAAGAAUGCCUUGGGUGUACCAAACGUCACAACGUAACUGGGUGACUAUAAAGGUGCAUUGCAGGUAUCUCCGAAAGUAGCUGUUGGGUUGACACGGAUCGAGACUGGGAUUUGUCACUCCGUAUGACGGAGAGGUAUCGCUGGGCCCACUCGGUAAUGCAUCAUCAUAAUGAGCUCAAUGUGACCAAGGUGUUGGACACGGGAUCAUGCAUUACGGUACGAGUAAAGUGACUUGCCGGUAACGAGACUGAACAAGGUAUUGGGAUACCGACGAUCGAGUCUCGGGCAAGUAACGUACCGACUGGCAAAGGGAAUUGCAUACAGGGUUUUGAUCGAAUCCUCGACAUAGUGGUUCAUCCGAUGACAACAUCGAGGAGCAUGUGGGAGCCAUCAUGGGUAUCCAGAUCCCGCUGAUGGUUAUUGACUAAGAGAGACUCGGUCAUGUCUACAUGUCUCCCGAACCCGUAGGGUCUACACACUUAAGGUUCAGUCACGCUAGGGUUGUAGGGAUAUGUAUAUGCAGUAACCCGAAUGUUGUUCGGAGUCCCGGAUGAGAUCCCGGACGUCACGAGGAGUUCCGGAAUGGUCCGGAGGUAAAGAUUUAUAUAUAGGAAGUGCUAUUUCGGGCACCGGGACAAGUUUCGGGGUUAUCGGUAUUGUACCGGGACCACCGGAGGGGUCCCGGGGGUCCACCGGGUGGGGCCACCCAUCCCCGGGGGCCACAUGGGCUGUAGGGGGUGCGCCUUGGCCUGCAUGGGCUAAGGGCACCAGCCCCACAAGGCCCAUGCGCCUAGGGUUUCCCCCUAGGAGGAGUCCUAGUGGUGGAAGGCACCCCUAGGUGCCUUGGGGGGGAGGGAAACCUCCCUAGGCCGCCGCCCCCCCUAGUAGAUCUCAUCUACUAGGGCCGGCCACCCCCCCUUGGCACCCCUAUAUAUAGUGGGGGGAGAGGAGGGACUUCAUACCUUGAGCCCUGGCCUUUGGUUGCCUCCUUCUCCCUCCCCAACACCUCCUCCAACUCCUUAUAGCUUAGCGAAGCUCUGCCGGAGUACUGCAGCUCCACCAACACCACGCCGUCAUGCUGCUGCUGGUGCCAUCUCCCUCAACCUCUCCUCCCUCCCUUGCUGGAUCAAGAAGGAGGAGACGUGGCUGUUCCGUACGUGUGUUGAACGCGGAGGUGCCGUCCGUUCGGUACUAAGGUCAUCGGUGAUUUGAAUCACGUCGAGUACGACUACAUCAUCACCUUGCAAGCUUCCGCACGCGAUCUACAAGUGGUAUGUAGAUGCAAACUCUCUCCCUAGACUCGUUGCUUAGAUGAACUCAUAGAUGGAUCUUGGUGAAACCGUAGGAAAAAUUUUAAUUUUCUGCAACGUUCCCCAACAGUGGUAUCAGAGCUAGGUCUAUACGUAGUUCUCUUUGCACGAGUAGAACACAACUUUGUUGUGGGCAUGGAUUUUGUCAUCUUACUUGCCUCUACUAGUCUUUUCUUGCUCAACGGUAUUGUGGGAUGAAGCGGCCCGGACCAACCUUACACGUACUCUUACGUGAGACCGGUUCCACCGACUGACAUGCACAAGUUGCAUAAGGUGGCUGGCGGGUGUCUGUCUCUCCCACCUUAGUUGAAGCGGAAUCGAUGAACAGGGCCCUUAUGAAGGGUAAAUAGAAGUUGACAAAAUCACGUUGUGGUGAUUUGUAGGUAAGAAAACGUUCUUGCUAGAACCCAAUUGCAGCCACGUAAAAGAUGCAACAACAAUUAGAGGACGUCUAACUUGUUUUUGCAGCGAUUGAUCAUGUGAUGUGAUAUGGCCAGAAGUUGUGAUGAAUAAUGAAUUGUGAUGUAUGAGAUCAUGUUCUUUGUAAUAGGAUUCACGACUUGCAUGUCGAUGAGUAUGACAACCGGCAGGAGCCAUAGGAGUUGUCAUUAUUUUUUUUGUAUGACCUGCGUGUCAUUGAAUAACGUCAUGUAAACUACUUUACUUUAUUGCUAAACGUUAGUCAUAGAAGUAGAAGUAGUCGUUGGCGUGACAACUUCAUGAAGACACGAUGAUGGAGAUCAUGGUGUCAAGCCGGUGACAAGAUGAUCAUGGAGCCCCGAAGAUGAAGAUCAAUGGAGCUAUAUGAUAUUGGCCAUAUCAUGUCACAACUAUAUAAUUGCAUGUGAUGUUUAUUAUGUAUUAUGCAUCUUGUUUACUUAGGACGACGGUAGUAAAUAAGAUGAUCCCUUAUAAAAUUUCAAGAAGUGUUCUCCCCUAACUGUGCACCGUUGCUACAGUUCGUCGUUUCUAAGCACCACGUGAUGAUCGGGUGUGAUGGAUUCUUACGUUCACAUACAACGGGUGUAAGACAGUUUUACACAGCGAAAACACUUAGGGUUAACUUGACGAGCCUAGCAUGUGCAGACAUGGCCUCGGAACACGGAGACCGAAAGGUCGAACACGAGUCGUAUGGAAGAUACGAUCAACAUGAAAAUGUUCACCGAUGAUGACUAGUCCGUCUCACGUGAUGAUCGGACACGGGCUAGUCGACUCGGAUCGUGUAACACUUAGAUGACUAAAGGGAUGUCUAAUCUAAGUGGGAGUUCAUAAUUUGAUUAGAACUUUAUUAUCAUGAACUUAGUCUAAAACUUUGCAAAUAUGUCUUGUAGAUCAAUGGCCAACGCUAAUGUCAACAUGAACUUCAACGCGUUCCUAGAGAAAACCAAGCUGAAAGAUGAUGGCAGCAACUAUACGGACUGGGUCCGGAACCUGAGGAUCAUCCUCAUAGCUGCCAGGAAACAAUAUGUCCUAGAAGGACCGCUAGGUGACGCUCCCGUCCCAGAGAACCAAGACAUUAUGAAUGCUUGGCAGUCUCGCGCUGAUGAUUACUCCCUCGUUCAGUGUGGCAUGCUUUACAGCUUAGAACCGGGGCUCCAAAAGCGUUUUGAGCAUCACGGAGCAUAUGAGAUGUUCGAAGAGCUGAAACUAGUUUUCCAAGCUCAUGCCCGGGUCGAGAGAUAUGAUGUCUCCGACAAGUUCUACAGUUGUAAGAUGGAGGAAAACAGUUCUGUCAGUGAGCACAUCCUGAAGAUGUCUGGGUUGCACAACCGUAUGACACAGCUGAACAUUAACCUCCCAGAUGAGGCGGUCAUUGACAGAAUCCUCCAGUCGCUCCCACCAAGCUACAAGAGCUUUGUGAUGAACUACAACAUGCAGGGAAUGGAAAAGACCAUUCCUGAAGUGUUCUCGAUGCUGAAGUCAGCAGAGGCUGAAAUCAAGAAAGAACAUCAAGUGUUGAUGGUCAAUAAGACCACUAAGUUCAAGAAGGGCAAGGGUAAGAAGAACUUCAAGAAGGACGGAAAAGAUGUUGCCGCGCCUGGUAAGCCAGUUACCGGGAAGAAGUCAAAGAAUGGACCCAAGCCUGAGACUGAGUGCUUUUAUUGCAAGGGGAAGGGUCACUGGAAGCGGAACUGCCCCAAAUACUUAGCGGAUAAGAAGGCCGGCAACACCAAAGGUAUAUUUGAUAUACAUGUGAUUGAUGUGUACCUUACCAGUAAUCGUAGUAACUCCUGGGUAUUUGAUACCGGUGCCGUUGCUCAUAUUUGUAACUCACAGCAGGAGCUGCGGAAUAAACGGAGACUGGCAAAGGACGAGGUGACGAUGCGCGUCGGGAAUGGUUCCAAAGUCGAUGUGAUCGCCGUCGGCACGCUGCCUCUACAUUUACCUACGGGAUUAGUUUUGAACCUCAAUAAUUGUUAUUUAGUGCCAAGUUUGAGCAUGAACAUUGUAUCUGGAUCUCGUUUAAUACGAGAUGGCCACUCAUUUAAGUCUGAGAAUAAUGGUUGUUCGAUUUAUAUGAGAGAUAUGUUUUAUGGUCAUGCUCCGAUGGUCAAUGGUUUAUUCUUAAUGAAUCUCGAGCGUAAUAUUACACAUGUUCAUAGUGUAGAUGCCAAAAGAUUUAAAGUUGAUAACGAUAGUCCCACAUAUUUGUGGCACUGCCGCCUUGGUCACAUUGGUGUCAAGCGCAUGAAGAAGCUCCAUGCUGAUGGACUUUUAGAGUCUCUUGAUUAUGAAUCGUUUGACACGUGCGAACCAUGCCUCUUAGGUAAAAUGACCAAGACUCCGUUCUCCGGAACAAUGGAGCGAGCAACCAACUUGUUGGAAAUCAUACAUACCGAUGUGUGCGGUCCAAUGAGCGUUGAGGCUCGCGGAGGAUAUCGUUAUGUUCUCACUCUCAUAGAUGACUUGAGUAGAUAUGGGUAUGUCUACUUAAUGAAACACAAGUCUGAGACCUUUGAAAAGUUCAAGGAAUUUCAGAAUGAGGUGGAGAAUCAACGUGACCGAAAGAUAAAAUUCUUACGAUCAGAUCGUGGAGGAGAAUACUUAAGUCACGAAUUUGGUACACACUUAAAGAAAUGUGGAAUCGUUUCACAGCUCACGCCGCCUGGAACACCUCAGCGAAACGGUGUGUCCGAACGUCGUAAUCGCACUCUAUUGGAUAUGGUGCGGUCUAUGAUGUCUCUUACCGAUUUACCGCUAUCAUUUUGGGGAUACGCUCUAGAGACAGCUACAUUCACUUUAAAUAGGGCACCGUCUAAAUCCGUUGAGACGACACCGUGUGAAUUAUGGUUUGGAAAGAAACCUAAGCUGUCGUUUCUAAAAGUUUGGGGAUGCGAAGCUUAUGUCAAGAAACUUCAACCUGAAAAGCUCGAACCCAAGUCGGAAAAAUGCGUAUUCAUAGGAUACCCUAAGGAAACUAUAGGGUAUACCUUCUACUUAAGAUCCGAAGGCAAGAUCUUUGUUGCCAAGAACGGAUGCUUUCUGGAAAAAGAGUUUCUCUCGAAAGAAGUAAGUGGGAGGAAAGUAGAACUCGAUGAAGUACUACCUCUUGAGCGGGAUAGUGACGCAGCACAGGAAACCAUUCGUGUGAUGCCCACACCAACUGAAGAGGAAAACCAUGAUAAUGAUCAAGGUACUUCAGAUCAAGUUACUGCUGAACUUCGUAGGUCCACAAGGACACGUUCCGCACCAGAGUGGUACGGCAACCCUGUCCUGGAAAUCAUGUUGUUAGACAACAAUGAACCUUCGAACUAUGAAGAAGCAAUGACGGGCCCGGAUUCCAACAAAUGGCUUGAAGCCAUGAAAUUCGAGAUAGAAUCCAUGUAUGAAAACAAAGUAUGGACUUUGACAGACUUGCCCGAUGAUCGGCGAGCGAUAGAAAACAAAUGGAUCUUUAAGAAGAAGACGGACGCGGAUGGUAAUGUUACCAUCUAUAAAGCUCGACUUGUCGCUAAGGGUUAUCGACAGGUUCAAGGGAUUGACUACGACGAGACAUUCUCUCCCGUAGCGAAGCUAAAGUCCGUCCGAAUCAUGUUAGCAAUUGCCGCAUACUAUGAUUAUGAGAUAUGGCAGAUGGACGUCAAAACAGCAUUCCUUAACGGGCAUCUUAAGGAAGAACUGUAUAUGAUGCAGCCGGAAGGUUUUGUCGAUCCUCAGAACGCUAACAAAGUAUGCAAGCUCCAGCGAUCCAUUUAUGGACUGGUGCAAGCAUCUCGGAGUUGGAACAUUCGCUUUGAUGAGAUGAUCAAAGCGUUUGGGUUUAUGCAGACUUAUGGAGAAGCCUGCGUUUACAAGAAAGUGAGUGGGAGCUCUGUAGCAUUUCUCAUAUUAUAUGUAGAUGACAUACUCCUGAUGGGAAAUAAUAUAGAAUUUCUGGACAGCAUUAAGGCCUACUUGAAUAAGUGUUUUUCAAUGAAGGACCUUGGAGAAGCUGCUUAUAUAUUGGGCAUCAAGAUCUAUAGAGAUAGAUCGAGACGCCUCAUAGGUCUUUCACAAAGUACAUACCUUGAUAAGAUUUUGAAGAGAUUCAGAAUGGAUCAGUCCAAGAAGGGGUUCUUGCCUAUNNNNNNNNNNNNNNNNNNNNNNNNNNNNNNNNNNNNNNNNNNNNNNNNNNNNNNNNNNNNNNNNNNNNNNNNNNNNNNNNNNNNNNNNNNNNNNNNNNNNNNNNNNNNNNNNNNNNNNNNNNNNNNNNNNNNNNNNNNNNNNNNNNNNNNNNNNNNNNNNNNNNNNNNNNNNNNNNNNNNNNNNNNNNNNNNNNNNNNNNNNNNNNNNNNNNNNNNNNNNNNNNNNNNNNNNNNNNNNNNNNNNNNNNNNNNNNNNNNNNNNNNNNNNNNNNNNNNNNNNNNNNNNNNNNNNNNNNNNNNNNNNNNNNNNNNNNNNNNNNNNNNNNNNNNNNNNNNNNNNNNNNNNNNNNNNNNNNNNNNNNNNNNNNNNNNNNNNNNNNNNNNNNNNNNNNNNNNNNNNNNNNNNNNNNNNNNNNNNNNNNNNNNNNNNNNNNNNNNNNNNNNNNNNNNNNNNNNNNNNNNNNNNNNNNNNNNNNNNNNNNNNNNNNNNNNNNNNNNNNNNNNNNNNNNNNNNNNNNNNNNNNNNNNNNNNNNNNNNNNNNNNNNNNNNNNNNNNNNNNNNNNNNNNNNNNNNNNNNNNNNNNNNNNNNNNNNNNNNNNNNNNNNNNNNNNNNNNNNNNNNNNNNNNNNNNNNNNNNNNNNNNNNNNNNNNNNNNNNNNNNNNNNNNNNNNNNNNNNNNNNNNNNNNNNNNNNNNNNNNNNNNNNNNNNNNNNNNNNNNNNNNNNNNNNNNNNNNNNNNNNNNNNNNNNNNNNNNNNNNNNNNNNNNNNNNNNNNNNNNNNNNNNNNNNNNNNNNNNNNNNNNNNNNNNNNNNNNNNNNNNNNNNNNNNNNNNNNNNNNNNNNNNNNNNNNNNNNNNNNNNNNNNNNNNNNNNNNNNNNNNNNNNNNNNNNNNNNNNNNNNNNNNNNNNNNNNNNNNNNNNNNNNNNNNNNNNNNNNNNNNNNNNNNNNNNNNNNNNNNNNNNNNNNNNNNNNNNNNNNNNNNNNNNNNNNNNNNNNNNNNNNNNNNNNNNNNNNNNNNNNNNNNNNNNNNNNNNNNNNNNNNNNNNNNNNNNNNNNNNNNNNNNNNNNNNNNNNNNNNNNNNNNNNNNNNNNNNNNNNNNNNNNNNNNNNNNNNNNNNNNNNNNNNNNNNNNNNNNNNNNNNNNNNNNNNNNNNNNNNNNNNNNNNNNNNNNNNNNNNNNNNNNNNNNNNNNNNNNNNNNNNNNNNNNNNNNNNNNNNNNNNNNNNNNNNNNNNNNNNNNNNNNNNNNNNNNNNNNNNNNNNNNNNNNNNNNNNNNNNNNNNNNNNNNNNNNNNNNNNNNNNNNNNNNNNNNNNNNNNNNNNNNNNNNNNNNNNNNNNNNNNNNNNNNNNNNNNNNNNNNNNNNNNNNNNNNNNNNNNNNNNNNNNNNNNNNNNNNNNNNNNNNNNNNNNNNNNNNNNNNNNNNNNNNNNNNNNNNNNNNNNNNNNNNNNNNNNNNNNNNNNNNNNNNNNNNNNNNNNNACUGUUGGAAAUAUGCCCUAGAGGCAAUAAUAAAAGUAUUAUUAUAUUUCAUUGUUCAUGAUAAUUGUCUUGUAUUCAUGCUAUAACUGUAUUAUCCGGAAAUCGUAAUACACGUGUGAAUACUUAGACCACACUAAGUCCCUGGUAAGCCUCUAGUUGACCAGCUCGUUGUGAUCAACAGAUAGUCAUGGUUUCCUGACUAUGGACAUUGGAUGUCGUUGAUAACGGGAUCACAUCAUUAGGAGAAUGAUGUGAUGGACAAGACCCAAUCCUAAGCAUAGCAUAAAAGAUCGAGUAGUUCGUUUUGCUAGAGCUUUGCAAGUGUCAAGUAUCUCUUCCUUCGACCAUGAGAUCGUGUAACUCCCGGAUACCGUAAGAAUGCCUUGGGUGUACCAAACGUCACAACGUAACUGGGUGACUAUAAAGGUGCAUUGCAGGUAUCUCCGAAAGUAGCUGUUGGGUUGACACGGAUCGAGACUGGGAUUUGUCACUCCGUAUGACGGAGAGGUAUCGCUGGGCCCACUCGGUAAUGCAUCAUCAUAAUGAGCUCAAUGUGACCAAGGUGUUGGACACGGGAUCAUGCAUUACGGUACGAGUAAAGUGACUUGCCGGUAACGAGACUGAACAAGGUAUUGGGAUACCGACGAUCGAGUCUCGGGCAAGUAACGUACCGACUGGCAAAGGGAAUUGCAUACAGGGUUUUGAUCGAAUCCUCGACAUAGUGGUUCAUCCGAUGACAACAUCGAGGAGCAUGUGGGAGCCAUCAUGGGUAUCCAGAUCCCGCUGAUGGUUAUUGACUAAGAGAGACUCGGUCAUGUCUACAUGUCUCCCGAACCCGUAGGGUCUACACACUUAAGGUUCAGUCACGCUAGGGUUGUAGGGAUAUGUAUAUGCAGUAACCCGAAUGUUGUUCGGAGUCCCGGAUGAGAUCCCGGACGUCACGAGGAGUUCCGGAAUGGUCCGGAGGUAAAGAUUUAUAUAUAGGAAGUGCUAUUUCGGGCACCGGGACAAGUUUCGGGGUUAUCGGUAUUGUACCGGGACCACCGGAGGGGUCCCGGGGGUCCACCGGGUGGGGCCACCCAUCCCCGGGGGCCACAUGGGCUGUAGGGGGUGCGCCUUGGCCUGCAUGGGCCAAGGGCACCAGCCCCACAAGGCCCAUGCGCCUAGGGUUUCCCCCUAGGAGGAGUCCUAGUGGUGGAAGGCACCCCUAGGUGCCUUGGGGGGGAGGGAAACCUCCCUAGGCCGCCGCCCCCCUAGUAGAUCUCAUCUACUAGGGCCGGCCACCCCCCCUUGGCACCCCUAUAUAUAGUGGGGGGAGAGGAGGGACUUCAUACCUUGAGCCCUGGCCUUUGGUUGCCUCCUUCUCCCUCCCCAACACCUCCUCCAACUCCUUAUAGCUUAGCGAAGCUCUGCCGGAGUACUGCAGCUCCACCAACACCACGCCGUCGUGCUGCUGCUGGUGCCAUCUCCCUCAACCUCUCCUCCCUCCCUUGCUGGAUCAAGAAGGAGGAGACGUGGCUGUUCCGUACGUGUGUUGAACGCGGAGGUGCCGUCCGUUCGGUACUAAGGUCAUCGGUGAUUUGAAUCACGUCGAGUACGACUACAUCAUCACCUUGCAAGCUUCCGCACGCGAUCUACAAGUGGUAUGUAGAUGCAAACUCUCUCCCUAGACUCGUUGCUUAGAUGAACUCAUAGAUGGAUCUUGGUGAAACCGUAGGAAAAAUUUUAAUUUUCUGCAACGUUCCCCAACAGCAACAUGCACCGAAUCUAGAGGAAUUGGAUUUAAAUUCACUAGAAGCACUGACGGAGGACUCGUCAUCAGCAAGAAAGGAAGACUUUUACAUUCCAUUAAAGCUCGCCUCCUCUCUCAAGAAGAUAACCAUGGAGUCCUGCCCUGGUCUAACAUUUAUUAACUGGAGCUGGAGCGGCGGAGGCUUGUCUGGAUUCGCCUUCCUUGAGAAGCUAACUAUUUGGAAAUGCCCCGACCUGCUCUCGCCUUUGGUGCACAAAGACGGAAGGGAUGACGAUGCGAACGGGAGAUGGCUCCUCCCGCCAUCACUUGAAGAACUUGAAAUCAAUGACUAUUAUUCCCUCGGAACACUGCAACCCUGCUUUCCUAGAGAUAGCACCAGCCUUAAAAAGUUUGUGGUAGAGUGGGGUCAUGAUUUGCAUACUAUACAGCUGCACUCAUGCACGGCGCUAGAACAAUUGGAGAUUAAAUGGUGUGUGUCCCUCACAGCACUAGAGGGCUUGCAGUUCCUUGGCAGACUCACGCAUUUGGAAGUAUCAUGCUGCCCUGGUUUGGUGCAUGAGGCCAACGGAAGAUGGCUCCUCCCAACAUCACUUCGCCAACUUGAAAUCAACAAUAGCCAUUCCCAACAAACCCUGCAACCUUGCUUUCCUACAGAUAGCACCAGCCUUGAAAGUUUAAAGGUACGGAAGAGCCCAGAUUUGCAAUCUAUACAGUUGCACUCUUGCACAGCACUGGAAGAAUUGACGAUUGGGGAUUGUGGAUCGCUUACUGCACUAGAGGGGUUGCAAUGCCUUGGCAGACUCAGGCAUUUGUAUGUAUCAGAUUGCCCUGGCUUGCCACCAUUUCUGGGGAGCUUUUCAAGGCCGGACUGUGGGAUCUGCCCCCGGCUGGAAAGGCUUGAGAUCGAUGAACCAUCUGUCCUUACCACAUCAUUCUGCAAGCACCUCACCUCCCUGCAAAGCCUACAACUUUAUCGUUUUGAGAAAGUGAGUAGACUAACAGAUGAGCAAGAGCGAGCGCUUGUGCUCCUCAAGUCCCUGAAAGAGCUCCGAUUUUUCUUUUGUUAUGAUCUCGUAGACCUUCCUGCGCGUCUGCGCGACCUUCCUUCCCUCCAGAGAUUGAAGAUAAAGUGGUGUGGGGGCAUCUCGAGGCUGCCCGUCACAGGCCUCCCACUUUCGCUGGAACAACUGGAAAUCUAUGAUUGCAGCAAGGAGCUAACUGAUGAAUGCAGGCUGCUACCACCGAGCAAGCUAAAUGUCAAAAUUGAUUGAUGUGUUUGAAUUGAUUACUCGAGGCCAUGUUAAGCAGUAUUUUUACACACACAUCAUAUAUAUAGCUGGGUUGCUUUUGAGGCAAUCUUGUGCGAUAUAUCCUCAGACCUGACAUACCCUCAUAAAUGUGCGGUGUGCUCAUUGCAGAACGAGCUGUCUCUGCAGGCACUCAAGCUGCAAAUCAUAUAUCAUGUAACAGGUGAACCGGCAUGUUGUGCUGUUUGUUAUUCAUCUCGUCUUGUCAACUAGAAAAGAUGAUUACUAGAAAAGAGAGAACCACAUUGGAUAAACCGGAAGAUUCGUUAUGUUGUUCGUUACAAAAGUUAGUUUAGUCCGGAAUUUCGUUGCUACGCCAUCCACAUGUGCUCUGCAGCUGCAAUAAUGAACUUUAGAGAUCAGCAUUCUAGCACUCGCCUUAUACGAUAAGAAUAUGUUGGGGGUACUCUUAAUUACAUAAAUGUUCUUAUUAUCGGUUAGAAGUCAGCAACCUGGUGUGCCGGCGCUGAUUACUAGUUUCCAUUGUUCUGAUAUCCUGAUAUGUGUGAUGCAGACAUGACGACAUGUGUGCGUGUGCGUGCUAUCUAUCCUGGUACAUCCUAACAAGUUAAUUUCUUCGCUUUUUUUUUGCCUUUGUGAUACUUCAACUAUCAAACUGUUCUUGUAUCUUCCCACAAUUUUUUUUUUUUGAGAACAUCUUCACACAAUUUUCUCCUGGUUUGGAAUCACUGUGUCAGUGGUUUUUGCUUUGCGGACUUGUGGUGGUUGUUUUCUUCAAGCUUAGCCUGAAGCUUGCUGGAGCUGAGGUUAUGAAUGUGCAACGUAAAUAAAUUUGUUAUCAAAUAUAAGCCCAGGAUUAGUUACCCGAGUGAACGAUUAGAUCAGAGAAGAAGAAGCAUCAACUCAUCGCUUCAAUUCAUGGAGACGAAACUUAUCACCUCAUCUCACACCAGCAUUGAAACUGCAUCAAUCAAUUCGACCAUUAAGCAAUUGCCCAACAUUAGUGAGAAACACAAACAAUCUAAUUUCCUGGAAAUUGCAACAGCUAGGCUGCACCAUUUUUUCCAAGAAAAAAAGCUCACCUGCACGGCUGCACCGGGUACUGACAUUCCGACAGUUAUAAUCAAGAAAAGCCUAUAGCAACAAGAAAUUAUCAAGUUACAGGAUAGUAACGGGCCAGUUUAAGCUUGACGUAUCUCAUAAUAAUAUAGUUAGACACUUCUGAAAUCAAAGGUGAGUAUAAUCUUACAAAGUCGAGAAACACUACAGGGAUGGAAAUUCGCAUUCACUCACCCUUGCAUGGCUACUGACAUUAUAUCAUGCAUAUGCCAUUCUCAUAUCCCAUAUAAGUACAUCACAAGACAAAGAUGAUAGCCAUAAUUUCAAUAUUUUCUUACUCCAAUGCCAUACUUAGGUCGCCCAUAAGCAUAUAUAAAAUCAAGUACAGAAUAGAUGUGCUAGACAAAACACAUCAAUACAAAAGCCACCUUCAGAUCAGAAGGCCAGAUGAACCACUUUUCACUUAUAUAGAUAUAGUUGAGCUGAGCUAUGAGAUUACCCACAAAGCAAUCCAUCCACUAGGAACUAGGUUAACUAAAUUCAAGCCGACGUGCACAUCCCAUAAAUAAGUACUCACAUCCUCCACCUACUCAAAUCCUACUGUUAUCACCGCAUCUCACGCAAGCAUUGCAGCUGCAUUGAUCAUUUCGACCAUGUAAGCACUUGAUGAGCCGUAGCAAUCCCUGCAAAGAAAAGAAGAACAUUCCCAAGGGGUAAUAUUUGUUUACAGGGGAGUAUUUGAGAUGUGAAAAAAACUCAGAUAUUUGCAGCACCAACCAAACACGUUUUACUGGCACUCCAGUUAUAUGUUAGGAAAAGCUAACAGAGACAGGAGGUUCUCUUACCCAGUAAUAGCAGGGCUGUUAUUAAUAAAUACAGACACUAACUGAAAUCAAGGGGUAUAAUUUUGGAAAAGGCGAGCAGCAUCACUGGGGCAAGAGUGCCAAUCAACUCAGGUUUGUAUGGCUACUAAAAUUUUUAUCAUUCAUAUACCUCCAAGAACAGAUUAAACCAUUCAUUCUCAUAUCUAUAUAUGUCACCAGACAAAGAUGAUAACCAGGACUUCAACAUUUUCUUACUCCAAUGCAAUAGUUAUGUCGCUUAUAAGCAUAUAUAAAACUAGGACACAAUAGAUGUGCUAGAGAAAACACAUCAAUACAAAAGCCACCAUCAGAUCAGCAGGCCAGAUGAACUACCAAAUGCCUCAGUACCCUCCACUUUUCACUUAUAUAUAGACAUAGUCGAGCUGAGCUAUGAGAUUACCCACAAAGCCAGCCAUCCACUAGGAACUAAGUUAACUAAAUGCAAGCCAACAUGCACAUCCCAGAAAUAAGUACUCACAUCAUCCACCUACUCAAAUCCUACUAUUAGAACGACCUCCUCUACACCAGAGAACGAGCAUCGCCAGCUUCUGAGGCGCUGUCCCCUGAGCUCCCUGACCCUGAACCUUUAAACAGAGUCAAAUGGGAAACAUUGCAGGAAGUUUAAUUUUUUUUUCAAAAAGGGGGGACUCCCCGGCCUCUGUAUCAGAACGAUGCAUACUGCCAACUUUAUUAAAAAGCAAAUAGGUCCAACAAAGGUCUUAAAGUCAUAAUGAAAAUAAAGAAAAGCUCACAUAGAGCAUAUAAAAAAAGUAACCAUAGCGCCACAACCGGCCGGCAUAAACAAGAUAAGGAAACUAAUUUCCUAUCUUAUUACAUGACCGCCAUCCAAACAGGUUGAAAAUAUCCCGUGCUACCAUCUUUCACCGGAUAGAUCCAGUAACCAAACGCUCCCUGGCCUCCGUCGAAGUGAGUAGCGACCACGUACGGAUCAAUGCAGUGGCUCGGAAGAUAACCUGCAAAAAAUGAAAAUUUGUUGUUCUAUUAAAAAACCAAGUCAUUUUUGCAGUUCCAGACUGCCCACAAUAAAGCACAUACUCCUACGCGAAUGUGUCUCGCUGUUUCGGCCUCUAUCCCGUUAAGCCACGUUCCAAAUAACGUGCUGACAGAAUUCGGAGGAGUAAUAUUAAAGGCUAUGUGCACUGCCCGCCAUAGCACUUUUGCCAGCGGGCAGUCAAGAAAAAGGUGUUUGAUAGUUUCAUUCCGAUCACAAAAACUACACCUAGUAGGUCAUGUCCAGUUACGCUUUGCCAGAUUGUCUUUGGUUAAGAUGACUUGUUUAUGUACAAACCACAUAAAGACUUUAAUUUUCAAAGGAAUUUUGACUUUCCAAACAUGUUUGGAACUAGGAAUGGAGCUAGAGUUGAUAACAUCGAGAUACAUCGAUUUAACUGUAAAUUCCCCAUUCCUGGUAAGCUUCCGGCGCAACUGAUCGGGUUGUUGAGACAGCUAGACCUCUAUCAGUCUACGCACUAAAUGGAGCCAAACUUCCCAACGAUUACUGGCUAGCGUUCUCCUGAAUUGAAUAUUGAGGGGGAUGGACUGACAUACUGUUGCAACAGACGCUUCGCGUCGUUGAACAAUACUAUAAAGAGUCAGGUAUUGAAGCGCGAGGGGUGUCUCUCCUAGCCAAGUAUUCUCCCAGAAACGCGUGUUGGUGCCAUUUCCGAUUAUAAACUUUGUCCUAUUGAAAAAGGCUGAUUUGACUCUCAUCAACCCUUUCCAGAAAGGCGAAUCCGUCGGCCUUGCUGUCACUUGGGACAAAGUUUUGGGGUGAAGAUACUUACUACAGAGAAUUUGCGCCCAGGUGGCCUCUGUCUCUACAGAUAACUUAGACAGCCACUUGCUGAGAAGACAUCUGUUUUUGACUUCAAGAUUUUCAAUGCCAAGACCCCCUUGGUUUUUUGGUCUACAAGUAAUAUCUCAUUUGACGAAUCUGUAUUUUCUUUUUAGUUCAUCACUUUGCCAAAAGAAACGGGAUCAAUAGAAGUCCAGCUUUUUUCCAACUCCAACUGGAAUCUCAAAAAAAGACAAAAGAAACAUAGGCAUACUUACAUGAAGAAUAAACGAUGUUUCACAAAAAGGGAAAGAAUAAACACUGAGUUGGACAGUAGUACGACUGGAUGAUGAAGAACCACUGCCUGGACCCGAACCAGCAGAGACACCCGUGGCCGUGGCCUCAGUGCCCUUCUCUGUCUCCACUGAUUGGCAUCUCAUCCUCAGUAUCUACAUACUCAUCCACCUGCUCCGCCGCUAAUACAUCCGUCCCGCUCUCCUGUAAAUAUCAAAACAAAACACAACAAACAUGAGAGCCCAAUUUGCAUAUGCACUAACUGAAAACGGGAACAACACUUGUUGUUUCCUAUCAGCAUUGUCAACGAAUGUAGACACAGCACCAUUCGCAGCCUCAGCGCGGUAGCACCGUCGUAGACCAUGGCAAUGUCCUUCUGCGGUACGGAUCUGGCCGCAGCGCUUCCUCGUAGCUGCCCGGAGCUUCGCCGGUGGCGGGGGCAGGUCCUCCUUCAGCUGGCCCUGCUGAUGCUCCUGAUGCCACGAAUCGACGCGGGAGAGGAGGGCGCAGAACUGGCCGAUCCGGGUCCCUGGAGCGCACUGGAACCGCGGUGGCCAGCCUCGCCGGCCGGAGGACGAGGCAUCCGGCCGACGGCGAGACCAGACAGAAGCUUUCCCAAUUUUAUGUUUUUUUAGGGAACAGAGCCUCUCCCAGAUUUUUAUUUUUUUGAGAAAAAGGAGCCUCUCCCAGAUGUAACAAAUAUACACUGCAAAAUUUAGAAGGAGCUUCAAAUAUCAGGAGCUUUUAUUCACAUGUACACCAAAUUCAGUUGUACAAUAAAAAGCUCCACAAUGUGCUUCAACUAUCCUAUCUUAACUCGAGGAGAAAAUUCAGAAGAAAAAUAAGAAAGCAUGAACAAUACUAAGCUACUUGACUUGAGUUCCUGAUUAUUUGGUCUAGUUGAGUGAAACAAAUUGCACGGACAUUUCUACAAAGCACUGAAUCUUCAUCUACAGAGGCAUGCACAACAACAGAUUUUUUGGUUCUUCUGUCUUCCUUUUGCCAUCAUGCUGAUCAUCUUCUUUUUGGUUCUUCUAUGCUCUGUCAAUGAAUAAGAGAAUAACUUCAGCACAAGCAUAUCCAGAAGAAUAAAGGAUGCAAAUGGACAGAGCACAUAGUUAUGUGCUUGUGUUGCAACCAGCAGAUGAGCCGUCAUGCUCUGAACCUGAAGUUAUUUGCCAAGAUGCAGCUAGCAGGUCAAUGUAGAGAAGUUAGGCCACAACCGGUGGAGCCAAGCUGAGGAGGGUGGCCAUGGAAGGAGAUCAACACACCGGCGCGCGAGAAGCUUGGCCGUAGCCAAGGGGCGCGUGCAGCCCGUGUAGUGUGCCGACGUCGGUGGGAGUGGAGGCGUCCAGGAGCAUCGCUGUGCCCGGCGGGAGGAAGUAGCUGGGGCGGUGCCGCGAGUUGGGCCGCCGGCGGGGAUGGAGUGUGCCGAUCUGGGGUGGUGUGCUUGGCGUCGAGGAGCACGCCAGCGGCGAUGUUGCGAGCAGCAGGGGCGUAGCACACCGGCGGCUGGAAUUUGGGGCCAUCGAGAUGGAAUCAGGAUUUGCGGACAGGGAAGUGGGGGAACGAGACGGGGCUGCUGCUUUGAGAUUCGUGCUGUGUAAAUCGGACGGUAUGAAAAGCGUUCGGGCUGGAAGUCUUCAAGUACCUGACGUCAGGUAGUUAUCAUUUGUCUAAAUGUGUUUGUGCAAUUGUAGUCUUGGUGAUAUGUGCAACGCGAGUGCAUGAGAAAUAAUUUCCGGGACGAGUAAGAAAUGGCAUCUCCGAAAGAAUAAUCUUUUGUUUUUCGCGAGAAUACAUACACACAAAAGAAUAAUGUAAGAAGGGACAUGACCGCACUUCGUUUUGGUUGCUCUGUUUUUCUUCCACCAACGACCGCUUGUGCUUACGUACGCGGAUGAUCACGACAGGGCGAACUCAGAGCUCAAAGCCCUUAUAUAAUCCAACCUUUUCCUCGCAGCUCAAAGCCCAGCACACACAACACACGCGAGACGCGCAAUGGAUUCCCUCGCCUCCUUGAUGGACCUAGCGGCCUUGAUUUCCCAUGCCUGCCGCGACGCGGAGAUGCUGCCGGGCGCACUCAUCUCGUGCGGCGUCGUCGGGGCCGCCGCGGCGCUCUGCCUUAUCAUAUCCAAGGCGCCUGGAGGUAUAUUUCUCCACCAUGGCAGAGCACCCUUCUUCUUGUACUACGGCAUCCUCGUCGCCGUUGUGAUCUUCGGUCUCCUCCAGGCGUCCGCCGGCUUCUGGGUGUCGGGCGACGUGCCGCCGGGAAGACGAUCCUGUGGCUGGGCCUGCUGCCCAUCGUCUUCGUGGUUGCGCUCGGCGGCUUUGCGAUUCUGAGCAUGAAAUAGUUGAUGUACUGAUACCAGCGUCUCGUGUCAUUUGUGUUUUUGUACCGGCUGUUUGAGCUUGGUGUUUCACUUCCGUCCACCUGCACGGUAUGUUUGGGUCAUUACGAGGAUGGGUCUUCUGUUGUGCCUUCCGAUCCGUGUCAAGUUGGUUGUGGCGGAAUCAGAGGGGAACGAAGUUUCUCCCGGUGUUGUAAUGUUUGGGUACCUCUUGUCCUCUUUUAAAGGUUAUGCUCCCACUUCUUCUGUCCGUUAUAAAUGGUGCAUCAUAUAUGUGCCAUUUGAGAGUUUUCUUAUUUUCAUAUACUAUUUAUUUAAAUUGUUUUACCUUUUAAACCGUUCAAACCGUGAACCAUUUUCAUCGUUGUAUUUCUCGCCUCGGAAUAUUUGAAACUAGAUCCCAUAUUAAUAAGUUUUGAUGAACUUCUAUUAUGGAAAAAACUAGAAGAGAAAAUAACCGAGCCGGAAGCACGAUUUCCCCUGCUUUUUUCCCUUGUGCCUCUUCGAAGCAAAUCUGUACCUCUAGCGUAAGAAAAGAAACAUGUUUUCUUCUUUUUUGUGUGCCUCCACGAUAAGCAAAUAUGUGCCUCUCGUGAAAGAAAAGAACAUGGUUUUUUCCAAGAGGGACAGUUAUGCCUCUCGCAAAAGCAAAUAUGUGUUUCUCCUGAAAGAAAAAAUGCGCUUUUUUCUCUUUUCGAGAGGUACCGUUAUGCCUCUGACGGAAGCAAACUGCUUCCACGAGAAGCAAAUUUAUGCCUCUCACGAAAGCAAAUCAUGGGCCUCGUCGGACGAGGCCAUGGCACAACGUUCCCGCCGUGCAAGGCACCGGGCGCGGGAGACGGCCACAGCCCUCGCGGCGGUUGACGUCGGUGAGGAGGAGUCGCAUUCUCCAACGCCCUGUAUGACGCAUCAGUCCGGCCACCGCAACCGCGUCGUGGUGGACGUCUGCGACUCGUCUCAGGAUGGAUCCGUCAUCGAUCUGACGUCCACCGGCAUCGUUUGGGUUUCGGGCUCCGACGAGGAAGAGUAGGGCAUGAAAGACGACAACGCCUUGAGCCCCGUGGGCCAGCUCGUUUCCAUGCUCUACUCUACCUUGCCGGCGACCGGACCAACAUUCUGAGGAGCGCAGCCAGCCGCCGGACAUGGCCACGGCGGAGACGGGCGAGCGGCGAGCGGAACCGGGCAAGCUCCGUUUAGAUUAGGUUUCAUGUUGCAUGUAAUAAUAUGGAUUUGAGGUAUCUAGACGUGGAAUGCAUUUUUUGAGACGUGACCGGUCACUGUCCGCAGACGCAUCCAAUCACGUCCGCGGGUGUUUGAGGGGUCAGAUUUGCCAGGUCCGGCUAUAGAUGCUCUAACCUCUCCAAAAAGAAAUAUCUCCAUUGAACAAUUAAAAAUAAACUCACGCGUCAACCGCAUUUGGCUCCCUGUACUUUCGCAUUGUAUAUUGUUUCUCCUCUGCUCGCCGGCUCUCAACUCUCAACAUCCCUGGCUCCCUGUACUUUCGCAUUGUAUAUUGUUUCCUCCAUUGACCAUCGCUCGAAUAGCUCCCACCGGAUCUGAUGGAGGCCGCGAUUGCAUGGCUGCUGCAAGCCAUCCUUGCAACACUCCUGAUAGAUAAACUCGAUGCGUGGAUUCGACGAGUCGGGCUUGCCGAUGAUGUUGAAAAGCUCAAGUCGGGGAUCAGGGGCAUCAAGAUGGUGGUCUCUGCUGUGAAGGAGAGGGGGAUCAGGAACGAGUCGCUGGAUGAAUCUCUCGCUCUUCUCAAGGAUCUGCUCUACGAUGCCGACGAUGUGGUCGACGAACUCGACUGCUACAGGCUCCAAGAGCAAGUUCAUGGAGGUGGAGGUACGCCUACUGCCCGGCUGUCUGCAGAUCUGCUGGUUUGAUCAUAGCUUGCUUUAGAAAAAAUGAAAUUGAUACUAACUGGUCAAGGACGACCAUGCUUUUCUGGUCCAUUUUUCUUGUGGCACAGUUACAAGGGACGAGCCAGUCGAUGAGAUAUCAAUGGGGGAUGCUGACACACUGAAUAGCAGUGGUGGCACAUUACGGUCCGAGGUAUGGAAACACUUUACGAUCACAGAAAAGGAUAACGGAAAGCUUAACAAAGCAAUAUGUAGACACUGUGACAGUGAGUUUAACUGUGAUACGAAGACCAACGGUACAACAUCUAUGAGAAAACAUUUGGAGAAAGAACAUUCCGUAACUUUUAUGAAAAAAUCUGGAGCACAUCCACCAAACUCUUCAAGGUACCUAAAGAAAAUUGAAUAUAUCGUUUAUAUGCAUCUCCUUGAGUGCACUACCCACCAUUUUUCUUUUCUUACUGCAGCACUGAUGAGCCUAUUGUAAUUGGCAAAUCAUCCAGGAAAAGAAACAAACGUUGGUCCAAUGCAUGGGAUACUUUUGAUGUUAUUAUAGAAGAAGAAAACGGAAAGCCAAUCAAGCAAGAUGUAAAUACUGCCUCACAGAGAUCAAGUGCCGGGCAAACACCGGGACAUCAGGUAUGCUCAACCAUUGUAAGAUUUGUAAGAAGAAACCUGGACCAAAUGACCAGACACCAAACCUAUCAAGGUAGGCAAAGCAUGCAUCGACACAUUUUUAGAAAUCAUGUCUCGCUGGUUCUAAUAGCCAAUUGGCAAUGUUUUUCUUACUGCAGCACGGGUGAUGCUAUUGCAAUUCCGACACCUAUUGUAAUUGGUGAUUCAUCUAGCAGAAAACGAAGGAGAGUAGCUGAGGAGUCACCACAAAUCACUGCAGCUAAUACACACACCAUUUGGGACAAGGAUACAUUAUCCAAUAGGAUACGAGAAAUUAUUAAGCAGUUACAAGACAUCCAGGGGGAAGUGAGCGAGGUUCUCAAGCUACAUGUCUUCUCCUCCAGUUCAGAUCACAACCGGAGUACAACCUUUGAUCAGCACCUAAGGACAUCAAGUCUUGUUCGAGGAGAAGUGUACGGAAGAGUUGCAGAAGAGAACUCCAAAAUAAUAAAGAUGAUAACAGAAGAAAAAUCUGAUGGUGUAGUUGUUUUGCCUAUUGUAGGCAUUGCAGGUGUUGGGAAAACAACACUUGCUCAACUUGUAUACAGUGAUCCAAAUGUGGAACGCCAAUUUGACCAAAGGGUAUAGGUUUGGGUGUCGCACAAAUUUGACGAAGUGAGACUAACAAGGGGGAUGUUAAACUCUAUUUCUGGCGAAAGGCAUGAAGAAAUAAACUGUCUUGCGAAGUUUCAGGAGAUCUUGAAGAGUCAUGCCAACUCAAAGAGACUUUUAAUUAUUUUAGAUGAUGUUUGGGAUGACAUGAACAGUAAUAUCCAAUGGGAUAAAAUGUUGGCUCCUCUGGUAUCAAAUCAUGUGAAGGGUAAUGUGAUUCUAGUCACAACUAGAAAUAUGUCUGUUGCACAACGGUUAGGCACCCUCAAACCGGUCAAGUUAGGUGCUCUGGCAAAUGAUGACUUCUGGUUAUUGUUCAAAUCACGUGCGUUCGGUUAUGAGAACUGUGAGGAGCAUCAAAGUCUAAGUAUCAUCGGUCGGCAAAUAGCUGAGAAGUUAAAGGGCAACCCACUAGCAGCUGUCUCUACAGGAGACCUAUUAAGGAAGAAACUUAACACCGAUUAUUGGAGAAACAUUCUAAAGUAUGAAGACUGGAAAUCCAUGCAGCUCAGAGGAGGAAUUAUGGCUGCUCUGAAGCUUAGCUAUGAUCAACUUCCCUACCAUUUACAGCAAUGUUUCUCAUAUUGCUCCAUAUUCCCCGACAGUUAUCAGUUUCUUGGUGAGGACUUGGUUGGUUUUUGGAUUUCACAGGGAUUUGUAAACUGUAGCAACUCUAGCCAGAGAUUGGAGGAUAUAGGGCAGUGCUAUCUGAUUGAUUUGGUUAACCUGGGCUUCUUUGAAGAAGUUAAAAGAGAAGAACCCUAUCUAGGCAGUCAAGUUCUUUAUGCCAUAUGCGGUCUCAUGCAUGAUUUUGUGGUGAUGGUUUCAAGGACCGACUGUGCAAGUAUAGAUGGUCUGCAGUGCAACAAAAUGCCUCAAACUAUACGACAUUUGUCAAUAGUAACUGGUUCUGCAUAUAACAAAGAUCAGCAUGGGAACAUUCCUCGUGAUGAGAAGUUUGAAGAAAUUCUGAGAAAUGCAAUUACAUCAGUUAGCAGAUUGAGGACAUUGGUGUUACUUGGGCAUUAUGACUCUUCAUUCUUAAGAGUGUUCCAAGAUAAAUUCAAAGAGGCACAUAAUUUACGCCUGCUGCACAUGUCUGCAAGAUCCGCUGAUUUUCGAAAACGUGCGUCUGAUGAGGUGGACGGGGCUUUCCCUCAAGUUUUGAGCAAGUUGUACCAUCUUCAAGUAUUAGAUGUGGGGUCAUACACUGAUCCUAAUAUACCUGAUGGUAUUAAUAAUCUUGUUAGCCUACGGAAUCUUGUUGUACACAAGGGGUUGUACUCUUCCAUUGCUACCAUUGGUAACAUGACAUCUCUUGAGGAGCUACAUGGUCUUAAGUUUCAAAUUACUAGCAACUUUGAGAUAACACAGCCACAAUCCAUGAGCGAGCUUGUACAAGAUUGGGUACAUCAACUAGAUAAUGUUAAAACUCUGAAGGAGGUUUAUGAGGCAGCCCAGAAAAAAAACGAACUCUUAGAAAAACUGCAUUUAUCCUGGAAGGAAUCUCCUGAGGAAACAUGCGUGGAGCUCUUGCAAAUGGAUGUAAGUGGCCUAAGUUCUGAGCUGUCUAUGGACACAGAAAGAGAGGUGCUUGAGGGUCUUCAGCCAGAUCGGCACUUAGAGAUUCUCCAAAUAUCUGGGUACAGUAAUGCUACCUCACCCACUGGGCUUGCCAGCAAUAUCUCAUUUACCUCCUUGCUGACGCUUCAGCUAUACAAUUGUGGAGAGUGGAAAACACUUCCAUCUCUAAGAAGGUUUACGUUUCUGACAAAGCUAAAGUUGAGCAACCUGCAGAAAGUAAAAGAUGUAUUGGUUCCUUCACUGGAGGAGCUAAUUUUAGUUGAAAUGCCGAAGUUGGAGAAAUUAUCAUGCACUUCUGUGGAAGGUAUGAGCUCUAGCCUAAGAGCACUGCAGAUCGAGGAUUGUCAGGCACUAAAGGAGUUUGAUCUGUUUGAGGACAAUGAUAAUUUCGGAACUGAGCAGAGGUCAUGGUUGUGUGGUCUUAGGAUAUUAAUUCUGAGUGAUUGCCCACAUUUGAAAGUGUUGAAGCCUCUUCCACCCUCACCCGCCUGUUCUGACUUGCGCAUCAGUGGGGUUUCAACACUUCCGUAUAGUAUGAAGGGAUCAUCUAGUGAAAAGUUAUGUAUUGGGAAUUUUGAUAAGGAUAAGACGAUGGCUUGGUUGAAUCUUUUGAUGAGCUGAGAAUACUGGAUGACAAAAUUUUGGCAUUUCAUAAUCUUAGCAACCUCAAAUUCAUGGAUAUAUCUGAUUGCCAAGAUCUAAGGUCUUUUUCGUUUGAAGGUUUUAGUAAUCUCGUCUCUUUAACGAAUUUGGGAAUAUCCAUGUGCAAAGAACUUUUCUCUUCGGAUGUGAUGCCAGAGCAUACCCUUGAAGAUGUGAUAGUUACGAAUUACAGGGCCUUCCCAUCUCUUAAAAGUCUGACUAUUAGCUCAUGUGGAAUAGCGGGGAAGUGGCUAUCUCUGAUGCUGCAACAUGCGCCUUACCUCGAGAAACUGAGUAUAGAUGAUUGUGAACAUAUAACAACAGUACUGUUACCGAUGGAAGCGGGAGAAAAUAGUCUAUCAGACAUUAUCUCAGCCAGGGAGGACUCGUCAUCGGGAAACCAAGAUGAAACAUCGACCUGGUUAGCUCGAGAUGGACUCUUGCACGUUCCAUCAGAUCUCAUCUCCUCUCUCAAGGAGAUAUUUAUUUGGAAUUGCCCUCGUCUAACAUUUAACCAGGGCAGCGAAUGCUUCUCUGGAUUCACCUCCCUUGAGAGGCUAAUGAUUUGGGUUUGCCCUGAGCUUCCCUCGUCAUUGGUGCAUAAAGAGGGAAGUGAUGACGGGGAGAACGGGAGAUGGCUCUUCCCGAUAUCACUUCGGGAAUUUGACAUCAGCGGCUAUUCCCAAGAAACACUGCAACCCUGCUUUCCUAGAGAUAGUACCAGCCUGACAAAGUUAGCGGUAUGGAGCAGCCCAGAUUUGCAAUAUCUACAGCUGCACUCAUGCACCGCACUGGAAGAGUUGUUUAUCAAUGACUGUGAAUCGCUCGCUGCCAUAGAGGGCUUGAACUCCCUUGGCAACCUCAGGCAUUUGACAGUAUACGGCCUCAGGCAGUUGUCUGCAUGUUUGGAAAGCUUUUCAAGGCUGAGCUAUAGACUAUGCUCUCAGCUGGAAACACUCAAGAUCGAUGACCCAUCUGUCCUUACCACGUCAUUCAGCAAGCACCUCACCACCCUGCAACGCCUACAACUUACACGUUUGAAGAAAGUGAGGAGACUGACCAAUGAGCAAGAGAGAGCCCUUGUGCUCCUCAAGUCCCUGCAAGAGCUCGGUUUUUCUUAUUGUUUUGAUCUAGUAGUUCUUCCUGCGGGGCUGCACAACCUUCCUUCCCUCAAGAAGUUGAAGAUGGACGCUUGUCCGCGAGUCUCAAGGCUGCCGGAAACAGGCCUCCCACUUUUGCUGGAAGAACUAGACAUCAAGUUUUGCAGCAAGAAGCUGGCUGAUCAAUGCAGGCUGCUAGAAACAAGCAAGCUAAAAGUCAAAAUUAGUCUAUGCUCUUGAAUUGGUUACUGGACGCCAUAUUAAGCACAUGUUUCUUCUACACAUACAACAACAAAUAUUGCUGGCUUGCUUUUAAAUAGAAGUGUUAUCAUCUAUGUUUUUAAGGCGACGCCUUACCGCCUUAGGGAGGGGGGGCGCUUUGGCGCCUAGGCGACGCCUAGGCGGGCGCUUUGGACGCCUAGGCGCCCAAAGCGGUCGAUUUUCCAAAGCGGAGGGGGAGCGCUUCGACGCCUAGGCGUCGCCUUAGGGACGCCUUUAAAACAUAGGUUAUCAUUCCGGAACGAAUACAUCAAGUGACAGGUAAACUGGCAUGUUUUGUUGUUUGUUAUUCAUCUCAUCAUGUCAACUAAAGAUAGUUAAUGUUCUUCCUUUUUUGUGGUGUGAUUAAUUUUCAUUUCCUCAACUGCAGAGUGCAGAGAUAACUACUGGAGAUAAAUCAGAAGGCGUCUUAUGUUAUUUAUUACACAAGUUGGUUACUUGGUUUAACGCAGGCAUUCCUUGCUACACCAUGCACAUAUGCUCUGCAGCUACAGUAAUGCAUAUCGGAUAUCGGAAUACUAGCAACAAGAUGAGACAGAUAUGCUGGGUUUAAUUAAAUUCAUGUCUUGUUCUAAUGAUCAGUCAGAAGUCAAAUGGCUCGGCAGACAACUAUUAUGUUCAUAAAAUUAUUAUUUCAGGUGGGGAAGCACUCCCCCUGGUGACGUUUCAAAAGAAAAAAAAUAUUUAAUUUGAAUAUGUAAGCCUGUCGUCGGCGAUUACUAGUUUCCUUUGUGGUGAUAAUGAGUGAUGCAGACAUGACGGCAUGUGUAUGUGCUAUGCUAUCCUGGUGCGUUCUAACAAGCUCAAUUUUUUCACAUAUUUUUGCCUUUGUGGUGCUUCAACUAUCAAACUGUUCUUGUAUCGUCACACAAUUUGCUCCAGAUCUUUAGUCGUUCUCUCAGUGGUUCUUUGCUUUGCAGACUUGCGGUUGUCAUUUUCUUUAAUCUUAACCUGAUAUUUUGCUAGAGCCAUGGUCGGGAAUGUGCGACACAAAUAAAAUUUCAUAAAAAAGAAGUAAAGGCCAGGAUUAGUUACCCGAGUGCAUGAUUAGAUCAGAGAAGAACAAGCAUCAACUCAUUGUUUCAAUUCGUGGAGAAGAAACUUAUCACGUCAUCUCACACCAGCACUGAAACUGCAUCAAUCAUUUCGGCCAUUAAGCAAUUGCUCAACAUUAGCAAGGAAAAAAUGUGUUAACAGUGACAAACAUAAGCAACCUAAUUUCCCAGAAAUUGCAACAGCUAGCCUGCACCUUUUUUCCAAAAGAAGCUCACCUGCACCAGGUACUGACAUUCGCGCAGUUAUAAUCAAGAAAUGCCUAUAGCAACAGGAAAUUAUAAAGUUACAGGAUAAUAAAUAUGCCAGUUUAAGCUUGACAUAUCUGAUAAUAAUAUAGUUAGACAACUGUUGAAACCAAAGGUGGGUAUAAUCUUAGAAAGUCGAGCAGCACUACAAGGAUGGAAAUUCGCAUUCAACUCAUGUUUGCAUGGCUACUGAAAUUUAUAUCAUACAUAUGCCAUUCUCAUGUCCAUAUACAUCACAAGACAAAGAGGAUAGCCAUGAUUUCAAUAUUUUCUUACUCCCAUGCCAUAGUUGCGUCGCCCAUAAGCAUAUAUAAAACCAGUACACAAUAGAUGUGCUAGAGAAAACACAUCAAUACAAAAGCCACCUUCAGAUCAGAAGGCCGGAUGAACUAGACCAUGCCUCAUUAGCCUCCACUUUUCACUUAUAUAGACAUAGUUGAGCUGAGCUAUCAGAUUACCCACAAAGCCAGCCAUCCACUAGGAACCAAGUUAACUAAAUCCAAGCCGACAUGAACAUCCUGGAAAUAAGUAAUCACAUCAUCCACCUACUCAAAUCCACUGUUAAAGCAACCUCCUCUACACCAGAGAACGAGCAUUGCUAGCUUCUGAGGUGCUGCCCCCUGGGCUCCCUGACUCUGAUCCUGUAAACAGAGUCAAAUGCAAUACAUUGUAGGAAGUUUAAUUCAUUUUUUUUUUGGAAAAGGGGAUGUACCCCAGCCUCUGCAUCAGAAAGAUGCAAGGAAGUUUAAUUCAUGAAGAUUAAAAACGAUGUUUCUCAAAAAGGGAAAGAAUAAACAUUUGGUUCAGCAGUACCACUGGAUGAUGAAGAACCACCACCCGAACCACCAGAGACAAUCAUGGCCUCAGCACCCUUUUCGAUCUCCACUGAUUGGUAAGUUGCGGUUGGCAUCUCAUCAUCAAUAUUUACACACUCAUCCACCUGCUCAGACACUACAGUGUUCUCAGGAUUCUCGCUCUCCUGUAAAUAACAAAACAAGCAACACCCGUGAGAGUCCAAUUUGCAUACCCACUAACUGCAAACAAGAACAGCACAUGUUGUUUCCUCUAUGGCCAUUACCACAUCAGCAUUGUCAACCAAUGUAGGCACAGCACCAUUCACAGCUUCAGCUCCAACAGCAUCGUUGACCUCAGCAAUGUCCACAUUCAUCAUCACGGCUCGUCGGCUCCUUUGAGCGCCUUGUUGAACAUUUCGACCAUGUAAGUAGCAAUCCCUGCAAAGAAAAGAAGAACAUUCGCAAUGGGCAAAUUUGCCGCACUGGCAAACACAAGCUGUAACUCAGAAAUAUUUGAAUGUAAAAUUAACUCAGAAAUUCGCACCAGCACACCAAACACGUUUUACUGGCACUUCAAUUAAAUGUUGGGAAAAGCUUACAGCAACAGGAAGUUCUCUUACCCAGUAAUAACAAGCCAGUUAAAAAUAAUACAUACUCUAACUGAAAUCAAGGGUAUAAUUUCAGAAGAGGCAAGAAGCGUCACCAGGACAAAAGAGUCCCAAUCAACUCAGGUUUGCUGGUACUGAAAUUUUUAUCGCUCAUAUACCUUUGAGAAAGAUUAAACCAUUCUCAUAUCAAUAUAAGUCACCAGACAAAGAUGGAAACCAUGAUUUCAACAUUUUCUUACUCUGAUGCGAUAGUUAUGUCGCCCAUAAUAAGCAUUAGUACACAACAGAUGUGCUAGAGAAAACACAUCAAUACAAAAGCCACCUUCAGAUAGAAGGCCAGAUGAACUACAACAUGACUAGGUACCCUCCACUUUUCACUUCUAUAGACAUAGUCGAGCUGAGCUAUCAGAUUACCCACAAAGCCAGCCAUUCACUAGGAACUAAGUUAACUAAAUCCAAGCAGACAUGAACAUCCCAGAAAUAAGUACUCACAUCCUCCACCUACUCAAAUCCUACUGUUAGAACAACCUCCUCUAAACAAGAGAACGAGCAUCGCCAGCUUCUGAGGCGCUGUCCCCUGAGCUCCCUGACCCUGAACCUGUAAAGAAAAUUGAAUGGGAAACAUUGUAGGAAGUUUAAUUCAUGAGAAUAAACGAUGUUUCUCAAAAAGGAGAAUAAUAAACAGUAGGUUCGACAGUACCACUGGAUGAUGAAGAACCACUUCCCGAACCACCAGAGACACUCGUGGCCUCAGCGCCCUUCUCGAUCUCCACUGAUUGGUAAGUUGCGGUUGGCAUCUCGUCAUCAAUAUCUACAUACUCAUCCACCUGCUCAGGCACUACAGUGUUCUCAGGAUUCUCGCUCUCCUGUAAAUAACAAAACAAACAACACCCGUGAGAGUCCAAUUUGCAUAUCCACUAACUGCAAACAAGAACAACACAUGAUGUUUCCUCUACGGCCAUUACCACAUCAGCAUGGUCAACCAAAAUAGGCACAGCACCAUUCACAGCUCCAGCUCCAUCAGCAUUGUUGACAUCAGCAAUGCCCCCAUUUAUCAUUGCAGCUCGUCGGCUCUUUUUGAGCGCCUUGUUGAAGUUGUUGACAAAUCGAUCAAGCUCCCACUGCGUCUCGAUGUCCAUUUCAUCGAUAUCCAGCUCAAUCUCAUCCCCAAGCAGCUCCGGGUUAUUGACAUUCCUCUUGCGCACAAUCUGCAGCACAUUAUGCAUCUUCUCUUCAGGUAAGCUCUCCAGCCCCGCCCUAAGCAUGUUCUUCUCCUCCAAGCUCAUCUGCCUCUUGUUCAGCUCCCUCGCCUUGGGUUUCGGCAUCCUCACCGCCCUCGGCUUGACCUGUGCUGGGAGUGGGACCACCGGAGGUGGCAGUUCCGCUGGAACUGGCAAUGGCACUGGCACCGGCACCAGUGAUGGAAGGCGUCUGCAUUCCUCCUCGAACCAAGAGACGGCGGCAGCGUACAUCUUCUCGAACGAGGCGAGGAGGUCGCCGGCGAAGGUGUGGACGGUGUGGCCGGCCGGGUUGUACCGCAGCGCGUUGGCGAAGGUGAGGCGGACGUCGGCGGCGAAGGCGUCGUGCGAGGGGUAGUUCCUGGCGGCGAGGUUGGCCUUGACGGUGCCGAGGUCCAUGGGGCUCUUGAUGACGGCGUGGUAGUCGUGGAGGCCGAGGGUCUCGACCUCGACGGGCGCGUUGAACCAGAUGCUCCGCUUGUCCUUGCGCAGCUUGGACAGGAUCUGCGCGCACCGCUUCCGCAUCGCCGCCCGCAGCUUCGACGGGGGCGCGGGGAGGCCGCCCUCCCUCGGCUGGCCCCGCCGCGGCUGCCGGUGCUGCUGCUCGAGCUCCAGCUCCUGCUGCCACGCGUCGAUGCGGGAGAGGAGGGCGCGGACCUGGCCGAGCUCGCCCGCGAGGCGGUCCCGGAGCGCGCCGGCCUCGCGGUGCGUGAGCCCCGACGGCCGGAACGUGGCGUAGCCGACCCCCGGCGAGGCCAGCGGGUGCUGCGCCCUCGAGCCGUCGGCGGGCGGGAGGGCGCGGUGGCCGGGGUUAGGGCUCGGCGCGGGCGCGAGCGGGCCGCGAUUGUCCCCCCAGUGGUGGCUCUGCGCGCGGCGGCCGGCGAUGAGCGCGGAGGCCAUGGCCGCCGGUGCCGGGAUCGGUGGUGGGCUCUGCCAGUUGGAUCCGGUCCCCGUCCCCGUCCCCGUCCCCGAGAGCGCACGGCAGCCGAGGAGGGGGGGGGGAGAUUUUUUUUCCGCUGCGCGGCUGGUGGAUCCACCCGNNNNNNNNNNNNNNNNNNNNNNNNNNNNNNNNNNNNNNNNNNNNNNNNNNNNNNNNNNNNNNNNNNNNNNNNNNNNNNNNNNNNNNNNNNNNNNNNNNNNNNNNNNNNNNNNNNNNNNNNNNNNNNNNNNNNNNNNNNNNNNNNNNNNNNNNNNNNNNNNNNNNNNNNNNNNNNNNNNNNNNNNNNNNNNNNNNNNNNNNNNNNNNNNNNNNNNNNNNNNNNUGGGGAAGGAAGGAGGCAUCCACGCCGUCAGUUGUCUGCUGGACGGCCCAGAUCCGGCCCGAGGCGGGGGAACGGAGGGGGGGGUGGACGGCGGGGAUCUCUGACAUGUGGGGCCCGCGGGGCCGGGCUGGCAGCGGGACGUGAAGUGAAGCGGGUGCGGGAACUUUGACUUGCACGGCUCGCUCUCUCAUCAUGGCGCGAACCAAUUGCUUCGGCGCCUCCUACGUACACGAAUCCAGUGAUGAAGCAAAUUUACCUUUGCAUUCGUUUUUUUAGAUAGAUUCUUUACCUCGCAUUGUUUCCGGGCCAACGUACAGGCAUUUGAAGUUUGGGAUGCUGCAUUUUACUGCGUCCUGUUACGGGAGGGCAAAGGCAGCAAAUGCGUAUGGGGGCCCUGCCAUGCGUCCCCCCAUGUUGGAUUGCUUUCGAAUCUAUGCCUGCCUUUAUAUGCGAGGCCAAAGCGAGGGAGGGAGCCACCAUGUGCCCCAGCCCAGCCCCGCCCCGUCCCGUCCCGUGUUGUGUGGCAGAAAAGCAUGAUCUGAUCCGCGGAGUGCUUUGUGGUCUUGAAUGCCGGCCUGGCUGUGGGCUGUGGCCGCUUUCCUUUUGCUUGUAGGACGAUAGAACCCACGCGAUCCGUGCGGACUGUGCGUGGUCUCUUUUGUGGUUGCGGCAUUCACGAACGAGGUAAUAGCACCCUAGGUACCCUAACUUGCACAGAACGUGACGAUUUAGUCCUAAAUUUAUAAAAUUUGACUCCAUCAUAUCCCAACUUAUACCUCAUGUGAUAAUUUAGUCCCAGGCCAAUCACAGCUCGACAAUCGGCAGCCAAGCGGCUGGACCGGUCAGCGCACGCACUUUUACACAAAACCCCCUGCCGUUUCCUUUAAUCAACCCGCACUCACCUCCACCUGAAUUUGCCGUGACAUCCACAUGACAACGGCUAGCUCCCGUGACUCCGCUCCCCCACCCCACCAGCCCCCACCGGCGGCGGCCACCCCGGCCCCGUCGCCCCCCCUCUCGGCACCGCGCGUCCCACGUCGCUCACCACCGCAGCCCCCCGCUUGCAGGUUCAGAGUGGAGAAUGGGGGUCGUCGACGCGCGCACACCCGCAUGGCUGCGACGGCGGCCGACCCGCUGCUCGCCGCCCCGGCUCCCCCUGCCGGCGCUGGCUCCAUUCAGCAUCUGAAGCCCCCGGCAACGAGCCCCUCGGGCCUCCCAUCGCUACUCCCAGCCAUGGCAGAUCUGGCCCCCGCCUCCCCGCUGCAUCUGCCGCCUCCGACGGGCCAGAUCCCCUUGCCUGGCGUUGAGGUCGAGGAUGGGGAGUUCGCUGCGCCGUCGCCACCGGCGGGCCUUGUCUCCGGAGAUGCGUUGCUUCAGUCUGUUGUCGUGGUGGGUGAUGAACCGACCCUGCAGUCGCCUCCACCCGUCUCCAGCCGCAGCGGAGACGUUGUCGAGGAACUGACGCAGCAACCGCCUCCUCCCGUCGCACAAGAGCCCAAAGUUGGUGCGGCUCUCCAGCCUUCAGAUCUGUCAGCUCGUGGCGCUGGCAAUGUCUGCUCCACAGAGCAUGCGUCGCAGUCGCCCACGGCUGCUGUGGAGGGCUCCUGCCAUGGUGUUGCUCGCGUCUCGUCGAGCUGUCCCGCGUUGCUUCAAGGUAGGCGUAGAGUGCUCCAGCGGCGACGUCGGCGGCAGCACGGAAGAAGAAGAGUUGUGGGCAAGCGUCGACGGGAAGCGCGCGGUGCAAGCGCGGCGGCCGCGGCUGAACUUCAGGGGGAACCAGACCGUGUUCGUGGACGGAGCGCCGGUGGAUGUCAUGUGGGACCUGCACGGCUGGUGGUUCCGAGAGCCUCCGUACGGCAGCGCCGUGGUCAUGCUCCGGGCGCGCAGCGCGCUGGAGAGACGGCUGUGGCUAGAGGAGGAGGUCGCCACCGGCGCGCCGGGGUUCUCGCUCGUCCUCCAGGCCUUCAAGUCCCGCGCUGAUGGACUAUCAUGUGCCCCUGCCCAUUGAUCAUACAUGUAGCUACUCUAUUCAAAUGAGAAGACGGCGAGCUUCAUGGAGUUAAGCAAACUGCCUGUUUCACUGAAGUCGAAGGGAUCAGUAAGUUUACAAGCAACAUGAUCAUGAACAUAACAGGUGAUAUACAUUGAUGUGAGUGUGUAGUGUAGGCAAAUUUCAUCUCCCUUGCUAGUUGAUUUUACUCUUCUCCGAAUCAUAACUUGUGAUGUGUGCAAGUACAGAAAAGCAAAAAAAAGUGUGCAGUAGAUUGGAUCCUUCUGUGUUGAAUGGUGAAAUCAUACUUUAGAUCCUUCUGUGUUGAAAGAUGAAAUCUUACUUUGGAUCCUUUUGGAAUAUUAUGAAUUAGAGAAAUUUACAUGCUUUCUCAUUCCAUUCGCGAGGAGCUGGAUGAGAAGAAACUCUCAUGUCCAGUUUUGCAGUUCUGUGUUGAAUGAUGAGGUGGUGUAGAUAUGGGGGGCAAUAGUUUCUGCUUGUUGCCACUUACCUUCACUACUGACUGUUCUUAUGUAAAUACACCAAUAACAGUGGUACAGUUACAAGUGAUUGUUGCAGCAUAAAUAAUCUAUCAACAGGUAAUAGUAGGUGUAAUUCUACUAACGCUGAGGGGUAUUAUCAGCCUACUGUUUGAUGGCCAUUGACAUUCACAUGUUAUCCUGGUGAGACCAGUCAUGAAAUUUUAGUUACCAAAAGAAAAGAAAAAAUGGAUACAUGAUGCUUCACUAGACAUACACUGUCUUCCCAGUCCCAAAUAUAUGCAAACAGUUGAUGUUCGGGAAGAAAUUGUGCAUGCCUGUCUGAGUACUCGAGUGUGAUAAACAGUCAACUGCUUGGGUGUGAUCAACAAAUAAUGUGGUGCUUUAAGAAAAAACCUGAAUGAAUUCUCAUAUUUACAUCAACUCUCUGUAAAACUAACAUAUAACAGCCAUCCUUGCACACAUGAAAAUGUUUCUGAUUCUACAGGUCUGCUAAGACUGCAGGAGAAAACGUCAGAGCAAAAAGAGGUAGAUUCAACAUCAAAAUAGUAGUGAGUAGUUGAUUUCCAAAUACCUGGUAAAAUAAGUCAGUGUCACAUUUUCUCCAUUUGGCUCGUGUUUUUUUGUCCAUAUAGGAAUGGUAAUUCAGUUUAGUAGCAUUUUCUAGCGCAUGAUUCUUUGUUCUGUCAUUGUCAUAGUUAUCUCCAAAAGGAUCAAAAUCAUCAGUAUCUCCAAAACGGGAGCUUCCGUGAAAAGACAUCAACAAAUAACAGGACAGGGGAAAGUCAGCGAGAUCAUGAUUAAAGCAGCAUACCAACUCAUCAAAUUUAAGCAUACAAAUUUAGAUGCUGAAACAAACAACUGCAGCAGCAACGCCAAGUUCAGAUACCCUAUCUGAAAAAGUGAAAUAUCUACAUGAUAAAAUAGAAAGUUUGCAAAUCAAACUGUAGCAUUGCUGUCAAUGGCUGGUUAAUUACAUAAAACAACAGGGUGUUUCUUGCAAAAGUGUGUGCGCUGACCGGUCCAGCCACCUGGCUGCCAAUUGUCGAGCUGUGAUUGGCCUGGGACUAAAUCAUCACAUGAGGUGCAAGUUGGGGUAUGAUGGAGUCAAGUUUUGCAAGUUUGGGACUAAAUCAUCACAUUCUGUGCAAGUUAGAGUACCUGGGGUGCUAUUACCUCUUCACGAACCGUCACCGUGCGUGACAGAUUGUGGCACCUUUUUUUUUGAAGCAAAUUGUGGCACCUUGAAAGGUGGGCGCGGCUAGUGUGACGUCGUGGAACUUUUUGGCAUCGCUGGCUGCUGACUGCGGCUGCGGGGCAGUGAAGCCCACACGUGUGGUCUGUGGAGUAGACUGUGGUGCCGCUGCCACAGACCGAUCCACGCUGAGAGUCGGCGCAGAGCGGCGUCGAGGCCGACUGGCCGAGUGACACACGCGCGCUGCCUCAGGCGAGAUCGCGGGCCAUACUGAUUGGCAACGCAUGGGGGAAUACGUGCCGCGUGACGAGGGCCGGGGCGGGCGUGCACUAUGUCUGUGUGGUGUGGACAUUAGGCUAGCACAACGCAUUCGAUUGGGUUCCAACUUCCAGUGGUGCUGAAACUGGGCAACGUUGCCAUUGACACAUCAGACAGUCGACAUCAUGUUUCUCGCUGUGACAAUGAUGACUUCAUGAGGGUGGUUUCAGUGGUCAGUGCACUUCGGAGGUUAUGUUGGACUAGGUCGGUGCGAGGCUUGCAACUUUCUUCUGUGAAGCUUAUCAGCAAAAUCGAAGUUGCCUUGUCCUCGAUGCUUGUGGCCGAUUGUUUGGCAGUGGUCGACAGGAUUCUCGUCUUUCNNNNNNNNNNNNNNNNNNNNNNNNNNNNNNNNNNNNNNNNNNNNNNNNNNNNNNNNNNNNNNNNNNNNNNNNNNNNNNNNNNNNNNNNNNNNNNNNNNNNNNNNNNNNNNNNNNNNNNNNNNNNNNNNNNNNNNNNNNNUGCUUGCCCAAGGAGAGGUGAUGACGAUGACAUGGCUAUCAUCUUUGACGAUUUCUCUCCUCGGCGGAGUGUGUGUGGGUCUUGUGGGUAGUCAGAUCGGUCAGGUGCCCUAUCAUAUGGGCGUGUUGUAACAAUUUUCGCUUGGAUUUCCAUUAAUUAAAGGGACAAUUCUCUUCUAUCUUUUUUCAAGAAUCGGACUCUAAGGCAGCACAUUUCCAAAAAAAACUGUAACGUUACAAUGUGUUUGCUGAGUCGGCUAGCCGUAGGACGGACGUGAUUUAUCCUAAGAGGCACGAAACAUUGAAUGGCUGGAAUUUUUUGAGGCACCACAUGGCAUGCGAUGAGGCGGUUCUGCUGUUGGUCGCGGAGACGGUAUGUUUAGAGCUCUAGCAUAUCCACUAAAACCUCGUCGGCCCAUAAAAUUUUGACUGUUUUCAGGUUUUUGCCUUUUUAUGACCUGAAUAGAACUGCUAAAAGCCCACUGAUCUGUAAAUUUUUUUAGGCAACCCGCAAAUCUGCCUCUCAACUGUUAUACAUACAAGGCCGGCGUUCUUUUAGGGUUAGCAAAGCGGAUAAGCACCGCCGCCAAGAUACUCCUGCGCCGGUAGGUUUAAAGAGCUCCGGCGAGCAAUUAACUGCGCAUCUCCUACCCCUUUUCGUCGUCAACGACAGAUCCAUGGCCGGCAGAUCCACCUAUGGUCGUGGCUGGUGGAGGCUGAGGCGGGCACGGAAGCAUAGUGAGCAAGCAACACCGCCAUGACGCCGUGCAAGCAAGCUCGAGCUGGCGCAGCUCAAGCUUGCUUGCCUGGCGUCGUGGCGGCGGCGCUUGCCCGCCGCGCGAGGGGAUCUGUUUGGAAUACUUGUCGUGGUUCCAAACCUCUCUGUUCUCUCUGUUUGGCCACAUAUGCAGCCUGCGCGACAUGGUCGACGCAAGUGACUUCAACGGACGCCUUGAUGGCGAGAUGUUCCUCGGAGUUUUGGUUUGGCAUGAGCGGCAAAAAUGACGGCCUUGACGACAUGAUGCCCCUUGAGCAUCAUAUUGUCAUCCAUCUCUUGCGCGUGUCAAGAAAAUGUCCGUGUAAUUCAGAAAAAAAGUUUCAUUCCAUUUUAAAAAUGCUACGAGUUUAAAAAAUGUGUGUUAUAAAAAAUACACUUAUCAUUCAAAAAAAUGCUUCAACGUGUAUUUCGAAAAUGUUUAACUUGUAUUAAAAAAAUAUUCAACAACAUGUACUGGAGAAAAUGUUAAUCAUGUAUUUGAAAAAUGUUUAAACGUGUAUAAAAAUAUUUUACUUGUAUAAAAAUGUACAAUGUGUAUGAAAAAAAUAAAAAUCGAAACAUAUAUUUGGAAAAAAUUAAUUACUUGAAAAAUAUUAAAAGUGUAUAAAAAUGUUCUUUGUGUAUACUAAAAGUGUACAUUAUGCAUGAAAAAUGUAGACAUGUGUUAAAAAAAGAAAAUGAGGAAAACCAAGAAAAUUGAAGAAAAAAUAAAAACAAAAAACCCAAAGAAAGAAACAAAGAAAACCAAAAAAAGAUAAAAACCGACGCAAACAGUGAAAAAACGAAAGGAAUACUACAAAGGAAAGAAAAAACUUGCGGCUCAGUAGCACCGCUGCAGAGGCGAGAUGGAACUACCGGCUCACAACGGGCAAGAAAUAGCCCUGUCGUAAUUUGGUUCGCCUUUUCUUGUUGGCUUGAGGCUGCAGGGGUUUCAAAUGGGCUAAAGAUAUAUGCCUCUCUUCUCUGAAAUUUCAUGGUGUUUCUAGAUGAGAAUUUGAAACUUCUAAUUUCCAAAAUGUUCAUCCCCAAAUUUUGGAAGCUUUCUCUAUAAUUUUCAAACCGCUUCUGAAUUUCCAGAAUAUCAUCAGAGAACAGUGGACGGGUGAAAGAAUGGGGGCAUGGGUAACUGGGACAGCCAUCUCUCUACUUGCUGGGUGAACUGACAGAAACAGAACACAAAGAUAAAUAAAAAGAGCAAAUGCCAAAAAGGCAAAGAUCUGAAACCAUAAACUUAGACCGAUUUUGCACAUAAAUGUCACCACGACAAAUACUUCCCAAGCCAAACCAUCGGAUGCAAGAUUUAUUUAUCAUCACACCACACAGCACAUGAUUCAGACACGCCUCAGCUGGCAAGGAACACACACAACACAACGCUACCUAGGCCUUCCUGCAGACGUCUCCCUCGCACACGUACCCAGCUGGGGCAGCAGCAUGCUCCUGCCCAUUCACCUCCUCUCCCUUCUUCUCCUCACCCAGCGCACACUUGGUGUGCAGAUCGAAGUCGCACUCCGCGCAGUUGUAGGACCAGGAGGUGCCCAUCUCUUCGCACCCGUCGCAGCCGUACGGCCUGGGGCGGCGGAUCAGCACGAGCUCGUGCUCGUGCAGCUCGUGCUUCAGCUUCUCAGGCCACCCCUUUGCCAUCUC
RNAcentral lists this long non-coding RNA (79497 nucleotides) under Triticum aestivum (bread wheat). RNAcentral's name for it is "long non-coding RNA (TAES_LNC021336)". The record is from RNAcentral. Lineage: Eukaryota; Viridiplantae; Streptophyta; Magnoliopsida; Poales; Poaceae.